RNAcentral lists this long non-coding RNA (51888 nucleotides) under Gossypium barbadense (sea-island cotton). RNAcentral's name for it is "long non-coding RNA (GBAR_LNC012098)". The stretch from base 2159 to 2283 matches the Rfam family "MIR7504 microRNA precursor family". The record is from RNAcentral. Lineage: Eukaryota; Viridiplantae; Streptophyta; Magnoliopsida; Malvales; Malvaceae.
GUAGUUGUGGUCUCAAAUGAAGCUGCCACCAUGUCCACCAUUAUGGCCUUGAUGUUUUCUCUACCAAUGAUGUACCGCUGCUCUUCAUCGUUAGGGUUAAUGGGCGUAUUCAACAAUGAAACCAUUACAUGAAAGAAAUCUGUGUAAGGUUUUUGUUCCUUGGCGUUAGUCCCUUGUAAAUGUUCAUCAAUCAUUUUGUCAAUAAUUGCGUGAAGCCCAUUGCUUGUCCUCUUAAGCCUUCUUCUAUAUCCCUGCAGUGAAACGAUAGAUGGAAUCUGUAAUAUAUUAUUUUAUUCUUCAUUUCUCUCAAGUCUUUCUGAAAAUACUAGAUUUAUUUGGUCAAUCAAAUAUAUAUAUAUAUUUUUAAUUCGAACUAGAUAAUUUCUAAGGAAGGUAAAGAUACAACCACUAUGUCACAACUUGAGAUUCAUCAAGUAUUUUAAUCUUUUAAAAAUUUAUAAAAUCAAAUUAUUCAAACAUAAUUAAACUCUUAAAACAGUACUUCUUUAUAACUAGUCUAGACCGAUUGAUUAAAUCAACCGUUGAAUAGGUUUUCUCUUUUUUAUUUUUAUGAUUUAAAAAUAAUUUAAUCAAUUGAAACGAUUUUCAAUGAUUAAAGUGCAACAAAUAAUUUAAAAAAUCAUAAGAACUAGUGUGACGCAAAACAACUAAAAGCAUGAAACUUGACUUUUUUUUUAAAAAAAAAAGGAAAGGGGUUGAAGUAAUUUGUUCAUGGAUCGGGUUAUCUAUUUAGGCUUGAAGGCCUGUCCGAAAUUUAGGAGGGUUUGGGCAAAAAUAUUAGGUUCGAAAAAUGAGUUUAGGCAAAAAAAUUAGGCUCAUUUAAAAUAUGGGUUGGGCUCGAGCUUAAACAUUCAAGGCUUAAGUCUGGUUCAACCCGUUUUAAAGUUUAUAAUACUUUAUAUUAUGUAAUUUAUAACACAUUAAAAAACAAACCUAUAGUAAAUAUAUAAUACCACUCUAAUGUAAACAUUAAAAUAAUGUUAAUAUGAUUAUAUAAAAAAUUUCAAAAAAUAAAAAUGUAUAAAAUUAUUAAAUAUUAAAAUAAUAUAAUAUAAAUAUUUUAAAAAAAUAAAAAAAAUAUGGACGAGCCUAAAAUAGGCUUGAGUUAAUUUUUUGCAAAUUUAAGUGAGUUUAGAUAAAAUUUUAAACUCAUAUUCUGGAUCAAACCGAACUUGAACAAACAUAAAAUAUAUUAUUAUUAUUAUAUUUAAUACCGACCCAUGAACACUUUAGGUUGAAGGGAGAAGAGACUAGUAUUUUUGGAGCUUGAAUUUUUGUUUUUAAAGGUUGAACCUUGAAGUUCUAGUUGCGAAUAAUUUGUGAAUAUUUUUAAAACUUGAAGCUCGAUGGAGUAAUAUAUUAAAUAUUUAUUAAAUUUAUAAUUAUUUUAUUUAAAAUGUAUUUUAUGUCACUCUCAAUUUGUAAGUCAUAACUCGGUAGUUUUUUUUUUAAAUUAUUUAAUUAUAAAAAUAAGUUUUUAUAAAUAUUAUUUACUCUAUUAAUAACCUUUCACUUUUUAAACAUAAUGUUAUUUUAUUAAAAAAGUUAUUUCAUGGAUCUUUCCUAACACAUUAUUUGCAAUCCCUAAUUAAUUAUAUAAGGUUUAACUCAUAAAUUGGUACUUAAACUAUACUGAUUUUUCCAUCUUGGUAUCUAAAUUUUUUUCAGUCACAUGUGACACUUAAAUUACUUUUUUUUUUCAAGUUGGUACCUCUGUUAAGUUAAUCAUUAGUCAAACCGUUAAAUCUAUUUUAAAAAAUAAGCUUAACCCAUAAAUUGGUACCUAAACUAUACAUUUUUUCCAGUUUGGCACCUAAAUAUUUUUUUAGUUACAAGUGAUACCUAAACAACCAGGGGCGAAGCCAGAAAUGAAAUUUUAAAUUUUAAUAGUUUAUAUAUUUAUAAUUUUUAAAGGAUUAAAUCAAAUUUUUAUAAUUUUAGGAGGCCAAAGUGCAAUUUUAUCUUUACUAAAUUAAAAUUUUAAAAAUUUCUAAAAGACCUAAAUAACAAUUUUUCCUUGUCAGCCCCCUUAGAUUCGCCUCUGUAAACUACUUUUUUUCCCCAAAUUGGUAUAUAUGUUAGUUCAAGAUUGUGGAUUGUAUGAAGUUGUGAUUCCACGUCAUCCAUAUCUCAUUCCAAUAAGAUAAUGACAAAUAAGAUUUUUCCUCUUGAUUUUUAGCAUUUUCAAUUGGAUUUGAAUUUUUUUCAGAAGAAAAAAAGCUAAAAAUCGAGAGGAAAAAUCUAAUUUGUUAUUCUCCUAUUAGAAAAGGAUAUAGAUGAUAUACAAUCAUAGUUUCGUAUAAUCCUUUCUCGUUAGUUCAAUUGUUAGUUAAACUAUUAAACCUAUUUUUUAAAAAGAUGACGUGUUAAAAAAGGCAAUUUUUUUUUCUCUUGUACAUAUAUAUUUUUAUUUUUUUCUUUAAAACCAAACUGAUGGUUGAACCGAUUAAGUCACCAAUUCUCAAUUUGAUCAGUUUUUUUGGUUCGAUGAAAUAUUAUUGGUGAUAGGCUUCUUUUUUUUUUUUUUAACUUCAGCUCUUGUUUUCAUGAUAGAUUUUUUUUUUCUAAUUUAGAAGGGUGUGCCUUGAUACAUUGGCAACAUCCACUUAAAAAUAUAUAUAUUUCAUUUUUCUCUCAUCAUGUAUACUUGUGAAAAUACAAAUAUUUUUAAAAAGAUAUACACUGGUUUCGCUAGACACAGUGAUGGCACUAAUAAUGUUUUUAAAGAAAAAACAUAAUUAUUGGCUGAUGAUUGGUCGAAAAAGUUGUGACGUAGCCGAUGUGUCAAAUGACACCUGUUUGCACAGUAACAAACAACUCAUUUUCGUAAAUAAAUUUUUAUAUUAUUUUUAUAAAAAGCGACAUCUUAUACAAUUUUCAUAAUUUAUUUAUUUUUAUAUUAUUUUGAUAAAAGAAAAAAACCCAAGAUGGAGCAAGUAAUUACAAAAUAAAUUGUGAAAAGGAAAACAGUGCAUAUAAAAUAGGAUAAAAUGAGAAAAAGAAAGGAUAUUCACCUGAAGGUCAAGUGGAGCAAGAAAAGGUAAAUAAUCGGACAGAUUAAAAACCCCAGCCAAGAUCAUGGUCUCGUCAAUUAGCGGUUUAAAUUGGAAUUUAUCAUCCAUGGAUUGCCCGAAAAUCACUUUACACAUCAUUACUUCAGUAACCUUACCUACCUUCCGGCUAAGGUCCACCGUCUCACCCGCCGCCACUGCCUUCCUCACCGAUUCAACCAAUGACACCACCUCUUUCUUUCGUACUGGGGCAAAGCAUUCGAUUUUUGAAGCGCCAAGGAAGUGCAAAGUGCACCAUUUCCGUACAGUUCGCCAAUAGGAACCGUAGUGGGUAAAAGCCAAGCCCUUGCCACCGUAGGUCAAGUACUCGGUAGAUUGGAGGUUAGGCCUGGAAGCAAAAACGAGGUCAUGGACCUUGAGGAACAGUUCAGCGGCUUCAGGUGAUGAUACCACAAUGGUUGGCACAUAGCCUAGCUUUAUUGACAUUAUGGGUCCAUAUUUUUUGCCGAGAUGGUGAAGGGUUUGGUGAGGAAGGUUCCCUAGCAUAUGGAGGUUACCAAUAAUGGGAAGAGGAGCAGGACCGGGUGGAGGCUUCCGGCCAUUUUUGUGGUGGUGUCGUGGGCGGAAGAAGUAGAUAAAGGAACAAAGUGGUACAAGGAGUACCAAGAGUAUGGCUAACGUUGAAUAAUACAUUUGGGAUGGGAAAGGAGAGGCAGCCGAUUGACAAUUGACAAUUGACAAUUGACAACCCCACCUUAAAUAAGAAAGGAACAAGUAAGAGUUCCAAGUUGGUUGACAAGUAAUAGUGUAAGUUCCAAGUUGGUUGACAAGUAAUAGUGUAAUUACAAAUAAAUAACCGAAAUAUGAACCAUAUAUUUCUCAAACAAAAGAAGAAUAACAUUAAACAUUUUUAUCGAAAACUACAAAAACAGAAAAAAAUAGCAGCAUCUUUGGUUGGCAGCCAUUCCAUUCACUUCAGAUUCAAUGUUGAACAAUAAUUCAAUAGUUUGAUUCAUUAGUAGGUUAUUCAGUGGAAUCCAUUUCUUCUCUAUUCAUUAAAUUCAUCGAAUCAACAUUCAGUAAAAAAAGUUAAGAGUAGCUAUUCAACAUCAACACAAAUAAAAAUUUUUUGUUUUAGUCAAUUUUACCCACUCUUAGUCAUUUUCAAAAGCUUCAAAAAUAAAUUGCAGAACCCAUUUCUGUUUCCAUUUUGUUUUUACUUUAAUUUUAUUCCUCAUUCUCUUCUACUCUCCAUCAAUUUCUAGAACAUAAUAAGAAAGAAUAAAAAUUCUUUUCUCAACACUUUCAGCUCUUGAUCAAUUUCCAGAAUAUAACCAAAAAACUAAAACUAAAACCCAUUUCUUAAUAAUAGAUCCAUAAAAUUUGAUUUUGAAAGGGAAGCUUUCUUACUCAUUUUUCUUACAUAUAAUAGAUAAAUAAAGGGAGAAAACAAGAAGAUGAAAAAAAAAGCUUAAAUUAGUAGCUUUUGGAGCAAGUGAAAUAGUGGACAAUGGCGCCACCGGUGGUGGACUGUUGGUAAUUAAUUCCAAUUCAUGUUAAGAGAAAAUUAGAUGAAGAAGAUAAGUGGCUAAGAGUAAUGAGGAAGAAGACGAGAAGAGAAAAUAUUAAAGGAAGAAGAUGAGAGAGAGGGACCAUAAAAAAAAGAGAAAAAUAAAAACACUAAAAAAUAAUAUUAAAUUUUCUAUAAUUAGGUGGGUGUUAAAUCAAUUUUAAAAAAUAAUUUUUUUAAAUAUAAAUACAUGAUUUUUUUAUAUAGUACUAUAUAAAAAAUACCCAAAAGAAAUUUUGAACAAAUUAAUAUUUGAAAUAUAAUUUAUAAAAAUAUCUCUUGAUAUUAAUUUUUACCAUAAUAUUCUUAUUUUAUUAUUAAGUCUAAUAAAUUUAAAUAUACUGUAGCGACGUAAAAAUUUUAGUUUCGGUCGCUAAUUGUGGCGAUCUAGUGAAAAAGUUUGGAAACUGAAGUUCGAUUUUAAAAUAAAGAGGGAGUCGCCACCGAUCCUUUUUCCUAGGUGUGAUCGGACACCUACUAGAUUCAUUUUUUUAAAAACAAAAGGAAGGCUGAAUUUAGGUCUACGUUAAAAGCCAGAGAAAAAUUAGGGUUCGGGAGUCGGUUACGCGCGAGGAAGGUAUUAGCACCCUCGCGACGCCCAAAAUUGGUAUCUCAUAAACACGCGUUGUCUUAAUUUUCAAAAAUAAGAGUUCAAUGUAAAAUUUAGUCAUAAUCCGAUUAAAAGAACGAGAAAUUUUGGUUUAUUUCGUUUUUUUAGAAGGGUAUAUCGCUUUAACAUGAGUCAAUUGACGUUCACCCAACAUAGCGACGAACUCGAUAACUUAAUGUUAAAUCGGUAUAUUGCCUUGAUUAUUGAAAUUAAUUAGAAAACCGGAAUGUAAUUUUCAGGAGAAUGCAAGACAUAAUUGAUACGAAAUGAAAAUAAGUAAAUGAAAUGGCUUGAUACAUUUGAAACAAAUAACAAACAUGACAAUAAUAUUAGAAAAUAAUAACCGCGCAUGCAAGAUCAAAUGCAAUGUUAGCAUUGAAUACGAGAACGUAAAGAGAAUACGAUGAAUAUACACAUGAAAAUAAUUAAGAAUAUAUAUGUAAAAUACGUAUAUAUAAAUAUUAAUGGUAUUAGAAAGAUAUAUAAGAUAAUAAAAAUAUAUAGCUAGUAAUGUUAAAUAUAUAUUCAUAAUAUUUACAUAUGUACAUAAAAUAAAUAUUGAGGAACACAUGCACCUAAAGAACAUAUAUAUAUACCAAUAUAUAUAAUAAUAUUAUGAAGGGGAACGAAACAAAUAAUGCAUAGGAUUAAAACGAAGUUUUGAAAAAUUAUUACCUAUAUACAUAUAUAAUAAUAAAAAUGGAUACAUGAAAUGACAUGAGAAAUAUACGUAAGAACUUAGUAUACAAAACUAACAAUUAAGUAGAAUCAUAUACAUGCACGGUAUUAAAAUGUAUAUACAUACAUAAUAAUAAUGUGGGGACGCCUAUUAAUAAUAUUACAUAAAUAUAUACAUAUAUGUAUAAUAAUGAUGAAAAUAAUAAUAAUAAUGAAAAUAAAUAAUAUAAUAAUAAAUAUAAUAGUAAAAAAAAGAUAAUACUAUAUGAAAUGUGUAUAUCUAUAAUAACAUAAAUAUGCUAAUAUGAAUAAUGAUAAUAAUACUAAUAAUAAUAAAAUACAAAGAAGUAUAUAUAAUAUAAUAAUAAUAUUAAAAUACAAUAAUUAAAAGUAAUAUUAUAUAUAAAUAUAUACAAUAUUCACAUGUAAAAGAAAAAUGUAUACUAAUAUAUAGUAAUAAUAAUAAUAUAAUAUUGGAAAUAACAAUAAUCAUAUUAAAUAAGGAAACAAAAAAAUGACCAAAAAUGAACUAAAAACAAAGCUUUGGGGCGAAUUUAAAAAAAAAAUUAAAGGGGAAAGGACCUAUUUGAAUGCGGGUAAAACCAUGGGGCAUUAAAAGUGCAAAAUUUCAAACUUUCCAAAACGCUGCGCAUAUACGGGGGUUAAAUAAAAAACUGAGCAAAAUUCUGGGGUCAAUUCAGAAACAAACAUAAACCUAAUUUAAAACACCAAAAAUGCGGAAGGGCCGAUUGCGCAAAUAGCCCUUCCGUUCUUAAAAGCACGCAGAUCCUUGCUAGGGCGGGUCGGGUCGACCCGACCCACCCUUGAAACGGCGUCGUUUUAUUGGUUAAAGGGGGAAAUUGGGGCGCAAAUUGAAGGUUGUGCACAAGGGAAGGAUUCAGCGCGCAAUUUCCCCAUUCACACAACAUGGCGCAGACCCAUUUUUCUAUUCGGGCCCACACGUGGACCCUUAUGGUCAUGGGCAGCACUGUUUUGUAUUUCAGACCAUUUUAAACCAUUUUCCCUUCCUUUCCUUUCAAAUACCCAUCCAUUUUAACAAAAACCAGCAGCCUUGAAAAUAAAUUUGCUAGGGUUCCUUUUACAAGCAGCUGAAUCUCCAUCGGAUUUGGUGUCCAGCGGCGCACAAAACAAUUCCUGGUUCUGUUGCCGUAAGUAUUCGACCAUGCCUUGAGGAAAUUAGUAGUAUUUUCUUUUUUACUUGAGAAAAAAUAAAACUUCAAAUCUCAUACAUUUUUAAAAAACGAAGAAAGUUCAUAAAAUAGAGAUUCAACACCACUUGACCCCUCUCCCCUACUUUUGUAUCUUAAAGUAUUCGGGAUCUCAUUGGAGUCGAUUUACCUACUAAAAGACGAUCUAAACCAAACAAAAAAAGGAAAAAAAAAAAGAAAGAACGAAAGAAAACUUGAGAUUACCCUUGCAAAUUCUUAAUUGUUUUUUUUAUAUUUCUGUGCGUGUAUAUUCUGUGUGCGUCUGUGUUCGUGUUCCCCUUUUCUUUUAUUUACUCUCGAAAUAAAAAAAGAAAAUAAUCACAAAGAGAAAGCCCAGAGAUUUCGAUCGGAGAAAUCACCUUCCAAUAUUGCUUUUUUUGUAUUGCCUAUUGUGUAUUCGUUCGUAAAAAUAUGCCCCCCUUUACAUUGAUUCUCUUUCGGCUUUUAUAGCCGAUUACAUGUGAUUUUCACUGCUCUCUGCUUGUUUUGCUUUUGCUUUGCAUGUUUCUCCAUUCCUUUCCUGUCUUCUUUUGUUUAUUCUUUCCCCCAUCCCUCGCAUGCUGUUGUUUUUGUCUUUUUCGUUUGUCUGUUACUUUUGUUGUCUUCUUGCUUGCGUGUUGCAGGUGGUGUCAGAGGGCGUCAGACGCAUGGGUGGCCGGUGAUAGGCUGGAGGCGUGGCAGAUAAGGAGGCCACAUGAGGCAUGCGACGGCCAGCUAGGGUUUGCUGCUGAAAUUUUGCUGAAAAAUGUUUUAGAUUUUGGGCCAUUUGGGUUUUAGGGUUUUGAUUUGUUUGGGUUUAAAUUUUGGGUCAGAUUUUGGGUUUGUAAAUGGGCUGUUACUUUUGGGUUUAUUAUUUGAGUUAUUUUAUUGGUAUGGGCCCGGGCAAAAUGGGCUCGUACAGCUGCCCCUCUUUGCUCGUUGUCGUGUAACGAGAACAGAGCAAAGACUAAGAAGGCCAAUUUUGCCCGGUCUCACCGAGUCUUGACUUUAUGGUGCUUAUCUUCUUCAAGUAACCUCAUUUCAGUCCACUGCGUCUUCUUGCUUUGAUCCACUUCACGGCAACUUCAAAAAGAGAUAUGCUUGUGGCUUUAAUCCACUCUGCUACAACUCCAUGGGGAUGAGAUUGGUUUUUUUCGUCUGCUCCACUGAUGCUUAGGGAGAUAAGACUGGAUGUGAUCUGCUCCACUGCUGCUUAGGGAGAUAAGAUCUGUGGUUUUGUCCGCUCCGCUACUACUUAGGGAGAUAAGACUUGAUGCGAUCUGCUCCACUACUGCUUAGGGAGAUAAGAUCUGUGGUUUUGUCCACUCCGCUACUGCUUAGGGAGAUAAGACUUGAUGCGAUCUACUCCAUUAUUGCUUAGGGAGAUAAGAUCUGUGGUUCUGUCUGCUCCACUAUUGCUUAGGGAGAUAAGACUUGCAACUUUUGACCAGUUCCACUAUAGCUUCAGGGAGACCAAGUCUGGUGUCUUUCAUCAACUUCAAUCUUUAUUCUUACUCGGCAUGUGAUCUUGAGCCCAACUCAUUUCUCGCAAUAUGAAUUGGCUCUUUAAAAACAGACAUUAAAAACAAAAGCUAAAGAUAUCUCAACAUGUGAACUGAGGCUCAACUCACUUUUCGCAAUAUGAGUUGAUUUUUUUGACAACAGAAAUUGAAAUUACCUCAGCGUGUCCUGAGGCUCAACUCAUUUCUCGCAAUAUGAGUUGAAUUUUGAAAAGCAGAAAUUGAAAAUACCUCAACGUGUCUUGAGGCUCAACUCAUUUCUCGCAAUAUAAGUUGAAUUUUGAAAACAGAAAUUGAAAUUACCUCAGCGUGUCCUGAGGCUCAACUCAUUUCUCGCAAUAUGAGUUGAUUUUUUUUAACAACAGAAAUUGAAAUUACCUCAGCGUGUCCUGAGGCUCAACUCACCUCUAGCAAUAUGAGUUGAUUUUGAAAAAGUAAAAAUUAAAAGGUUCAACCCACCUAUCGCAAUAUGAGUUGAUUCUUGACAAACAGAAAUUGAAAUUACCUCAUCGUGUCCUGAGGCUCAACUCACCUCUCGCAAUAUGAGUCAAUUUAAAACAUAAACUAAAAAUACCUCGGCGUGCCCCGAGGCUCAACUCACUUUUCGCAAUAUGAGUUGAUUUUGAAAAACAGAAAUUAAAAGGUUCAACCCACCUCUCGCAAUAUGAGUUGAUUUUUGAAAACCAGAAAUUAAAAGGUUCAACUCACCUCUCGCAAUAUGAGUCAAUUUAAAACAUAAACUAAAAAUACCUCGGCGUGCCCCGAGGCUCAACUCACUUCUCGCAAUAUGAGUUGAUUUUGAAAAAUAGAAAUUAAAAGGUUCAACCCACCUCUCGCAAUAUGAGUUGAUUUUUGAAAACCAGAAAUUAAAAGGUUCAACUCACCUCUCGCAAUAUGAGUUGAUUUUUUGAAAAACAGGAAUUAAAAGGCUCAACUCACCUCUCGUAAUAUGAGUUGAUUUUUGAAACUUAAUUUGAAAAGCAGAUUUUGAAAAUACCUCAAUGUGUCUUGAGGCUCAACUCAUUUCUCGCAAAAUGAGUUGAAUUUUGAAAACAGAAAUUGAAAUUACCUCAACGUGUCUUGAGGCUCAACUCAUUUCUCGCAAUAUGAGUUGAAUUUUGAAAAGCAAAAAUUGAAAAUACCUCAAUGUGUCUUGAGGCUCAACUCAUUUCUCGCAAUAUGAGUUGAAUUUUGAAAAGCAAAGAUUGAAAUUACCUCAACGUGUCUUGAGGCUCAACUCAUUUCUCGCAAUAUGAGUUGAAUUUUUGAAACAGAAAUAAAAGCAUCAGAAUACCAAAACAUGUUAUCUGGUGGAACUCAGGUGUCUUUUCCUUUAAUUCAAUACAACUAUCAUCACAUCUUCUUAUUCUACUGGAGUACCUGUAUAUGUCAUGCAUGAUGUUAUCAUGAUAUGCACAUGUUUGUCUUAAAUGCCUUUAUGCCUACAUGAUUAUGCUAUGCGCCUUAGGCAUGUUUGCCGUAUGUCCCUUUCCGUCAUGAUUUUUGAUGAUCUGUGUUCAUUGCUUUGACUCUUGACUUUCUCUUCAGGCCCUGUACCCGUCCUCUGGCUUCACGAGUAAUCUGCGUUUCUCAGUUAUCGCUCUCUUGCCCCUGGUUGAACUUUGUCCUUGCGUUGAGGCUCUUGUACUUAUCAAAUUCUCAUCCGGGUAAUGCUCAACAUUUCUUUUGUUUGGAGCAUGUCAUUUCAAAAUACUCUAGAUCUUCAACGCAUGAACUCUUCCACAUUUCUUAAUCAAGAAUCUUUUUGAGUAUGUCUUCUUGCGUAUAAAUUUUCGAGCUGCUAAAAAUCCUUCAAAUACUGUAGUCUUGCUGCUUGACUCACUUCUUGAAUCUUUUUACUCAUUGGGCCCAAACCUGCUUCAUUAGGACGCCAUUUCGGGUUUUCAUCCUAAUUUUUAUUUAUCAAGACACCCUUUUCAGGUUUUCAUCUCAAUCUUCUUCUUUUUUUUAAGGCGUCAUCACUCAUUGCCCAUCAGGGCUCUAUUACGGACGUAGUACGCUGCCCUAAUGCUCGGUUGGUAUUUUGACCCAAAAUCCGAAGAAAUAAUCGCGUUUUGCUCAGCCCCACCGUAAUUUUAGGGUCCAUUCUACUGUAAUUUUGGGAUACAAGGUUGGCACUAUCCUUAAACCAUUCCACUGCAAUUCAUGGCUAUAGGAUCUGUAUCCUACUGUAACUCAAGGGUGUAUGAUCUGUAAUUUGUUCCAUCGACUGAUAUUUUUGACAGAAAAUCUGAGGAGAUAAACUCAAUUUGAACUAAAAUAUUUCCAACCCUUACCCUUGGUAAGCUCUUGAACAACCGACUGGUUUCAGGUUCCUGUACUAUUUAGAAGCUUUCAGAGUAAUAUGCAAAAUUCCUUUUAUAAAAGUAUGAUUAGUCCAUUAAUCAUUAUUUCAAUGCGAAAUGCUUGAAAAGGAUCGAACUGAUGGACAAGAAGAGAAUCGGUUAAGAGCAUAGCUCGAAACAAAUAAGUUGAACAAUGAGAGUAAAUGCAAGUUUAUUGGAAGCUUAUUUUGAAAAGAAUAAGAUAAUCAAAGAUAAAUUCAGAAAUGGGUAAAAUGGAAAGCUAAGUACCCCAAAUAUCGCCGCCUGAGCUUCUCUGUACAAACUCCUUUUGAGACAAUUUCGAGUUCAACAUGUGUUUGGGGAUUCAGAGUACUUUGUCAAUGCUCCAAGACGUAACAUACUUCUUCACUGUCAAUUUAAGUAUAGCAAGACUACCAUAUGCCCCACCUUUGAACAAGAUUUGAGCUGCCUUUUCCAGGUUUUCAACUCAAAACCCCUUUGGUCUCAAGGUGCCCUUUGCGGGUUUUCACCUUGACCUCUCCAUUUUCUUUUCUUUUUUUUUUGAAUGAAUGAAGGUCACAAGGCGCCCUUUGCGGGUUUUCACCUUGGCCACUCCUUUUCAUGUAUUUCUGGACUGAAUCCGAAUUUAGGAUUGGAUUAGUGUUCUUUCGGGGAAAGCCUCCUUUACCGCAUAAAGUUCUUAAGCAUCCAUUUCCCUUUGGAAUCCUUUUGUAUAGCAAGGAUCUUCUGCAAUACCAAGUUCCUACAAUGAAAUUCCUUUGGGUGAACCAUUUCCGCCAUAACUCAGCAUCAUAGGCGUUUGACCUUCAAAUCCUUUUCUGCAGUCAAGUUUAAUGAAGACAUUUUACUUCAUCCAAUCCUUGAUUCAACAAAGCUUGGAGAAAAAGAAUCUUAAUUUCCAUGGACAGAACCACCUCUAAUGCCCCAGUGAAGGUCCUGGUCAACUUUAAUAAGCACAAAGAGUAAAAGGUAGCUUCUUAUGUCAAUAUUUACAAGUCUCGGUCACCUUCUAUAACUUUUCUUGAUUUUUGUAUCUUUCUUUUGGCAGCCUUUGUUGUAUUGUGAUAUGACAUUGUACAGUUACGCAUUAAAACAUGAUUCUUUCUGGCAUUUGAUUUUUUUUUUCUUGUCUUUUUUUUUGUUUUUUUGUUUUGUUUUCUUUUUCUUUUCAUGACUGUCGACCUUAUAAUAUUGGCAUAUGAAGCUACAUUCAUCUUCUUAGUGAAGCAAUUGACGGCCACGACGAUGAUGUCGACUGGAAGCUUUUGACGAGAUCAUCCCCAGAACAUCUAUGCCCCACGUAUUGAAAAGUUUGUGAAGAGAUGAAAGAAGCACGUGAGUCUUGACGUCAUAACUGAUGCUAUUCCCUUCCCAUGGUGGACCAACAACAUCUGAUCCUCAUUGAUUAGCUUGGCUAUUGCAGAACCAUUGUCAUGUGUUCUCUAGACACCCUUAUGGACCUCUUUCCAGAUGUUCCUGAGUGCGCCUUAAUAUGAUCGUGCAAAAACAUCCUUAAAUUCUUAGAAAUAACUCAAUAGUCUUGCCUUAUUUUUGCGGUGAGCUAGGUUUCGAUCUUCAUCAUUUUCCCAAGCUCACAAUGUCAGCUGACCCUUUGUAAGUUAGGGUCUGUUUUUCAUCUCAUUCUGUUAUCCUUCACAAAUCAGAAGAUGGACACAGUCUCUGUCAUCUUCCAAGUCCUGAGAUUCCUCUAGACACAUAUCUUGCUCCAAAGGGAGUUAGUAACAGUGUCGCUCGUGACAUUGAUAUCUGGGGACCCACUGUGGGUAUGAAGGAAAAUUCUAGAGAAUAAAUGAUUCUAAGGAUGAUUAUUUGUAUAGGAUGAUCAUGAAUGUAAAAUAAAAGAAUGAAAGUCCAAAUAAUAAAAGAAUCUAUAAAUAGAAGAAAAUUUACUCAAAAAGAUGCGUUUCAUUGAAAUAAAAAUCUUGGACCGAAACCUAUUUUUCAAAAGAAAUCUUAUCACCUCUAGGUCUUAAGGCAAUAAGUAUGUUUUGAAUAUUACUCUAGAUUAGCUUUAAAAGUACACGGAUCUCUUCCACUGUCCCAUUGUUCAAGACACUCGGAGGUGGGUGAUAUCGAGGUCAUGGUUGAGUUGGGUACGAAUUAGAAGCAUAGUGGCUUCCUAUUCCCACCACAUGGGUUUCUGGCUCUUUUUUCUUCAUGGGUGCUGCCCUUUUGAGCUCUCAGGGCAUUCCAUCCUUUCAUUUUUGAUGGCAUUCUCUAUAAGUUCCCCGGAUAUCACAAUGUUCGCAAAGUCUUUCGUAGCACUUCCUACCAACUUGUCAUAGAAUGGUGCUCUCAGAGUAUUGAUGAAAAGGACUGUUAUCUCAGUCUUAGUCAAUGGUGGUUCCAUUUGAGCCGAGAUAUCUCUCCACCUUUGAGCAUAUUGCCUAAAGGUUUCUGCUGGUUUCUUUUCCAUCCUUUGUAGAGUCAUUCGAUCAGGCACCAUGUCAGACACAUGCUUGUACUGUUCACAAAAUGCUGAUGCUAAGUCUUUCCAUGAUCGGAUCCUUUCUUUACUAAGUUGAUUAUACCAUCGAAGAGCUGAUCCGACUAAGCUGUCUUGGAAACAGUGUAUUAGCAACUUAUCUUUAUUCAUGUGACUCGUCAUUUUUCGGCAAAACAUGACAAGAUGCGUUCUUGGACAUCUCGUUCCAUUGUAUUUUUCAAAAUCUGGUGCUUUAAACUUCGGAGGUAGAACCAGAUCAGGCACCAGACUGAGCUCCUUGGCACUUAAUGCAGAGAAAACUUCAGCGCCUUCGAUUGCCUUGAGCCUUUCUUCAAAACUCCUAUACUUGCCCCAAACAUCAUGAUCGUCUAAUUUCAACAUGGCUAUCUCUACUGGGUCAUCCCGAUCUGGAAUAUUGGGAUCAACGGGAUUACCUCCGGGGUUUGAUACAGAUAUACCUUGCCCUAAAUGAGUAGGUGGUACAGGUCGUUGCUCCAAACCUACAGGCUCCUUUUGAGGACAUCCUCUUUGCGUUACAUGAACGUGAGGCGGGGUGAAUCUUGGGGGAUAAAACGGAUCCUGAUCAUGAUUAACUCUUGACUGAGGUUCUAUAACGUCAGGACUCUGCAUAAGUCCAUUCCCUUUAACAAAAGCUGACAUCAUCUCCAUCAUUUUGGCCAUUUGAUCCCUUUGUUUGAGUGAUUCCUCUCGAGACCUUACCAUCAGAUCUCUCGUUUCCUGCUGUGAUUUAGCCAACUGUUCUUGCAAUUCUCUUUGGGCCUUUUCCAUUCUUUCAAUUCUCUCAUUGAAUUCGGCCUCCAUAGUUCUAGCUCUUAGUCGCGUCUUAUACGAAUGGCGUGAUUCCAGACUCGUAGCAUUACAACUGUAGAUCAUACGGUUUCAGCCUCAGUGAAUGAUUAAGGGACAUGUACAUGCAAUGAAUGGAUGAACGAAUAAAUGGCAGAUGAAUGUCAGUCAUGAAUAUGCAAAAAUUUGGUGUUAAUUUCAAGAUAGCCCCUAUUUAGGCAUUUCCUUAAUUAAAAGAGUCUAUUACACAACAUUUCGGCCAUUCGUAUAAUUGACUCCUCCAUCAGAAACCCAUUUUUGGCAACUAAUCUCUAAUCAACACCUUCCUAAUAUGAUGCCUAUGAUGCAUGAUGAAAAAUAGAAAUACAGACAAACAACUUUGGUUAGCAUAACACAUAUGAACAGAGAAAAACUGUGGAAAAUCUAACAAAUUAAGCUACUUGGUCCAGUGGACUCGAUUCCCUUGUUUAGAAAGCACAAAUGUAAAAGAAAUAGAAGGUAAGAUGUGCUUUUCCCGUGUACUUAUUUUGGUGACUACUAAACGAGCGGAGGUUCGGCAUGGCUCUAGUUGGAUGGCUCGUAUGGUUCACUAUAUGCGGUUUUGAUUCUAGAUGGGUACUUGAAUCAUCUGCACUGUCAUCUACUAAGAUUAGUACAAAGCCUCGGUCAUGGCCCAUCAUAGGCUUACGAGAUCAAUUCGAGGGAUUACAUUUACUUAUGCCUAUGCGGAGGGACAAGUUAACUCACGAAAGCAUAAGUCAUAUGUAACCCGAAAGUAUUCACUAGCCUGUGCGGAGGAACGAGUUAACUCACGAAGGCGUAGCGUUUACUUUCUCUUAACAGGGACGGAGCCCGGGUAUAGAGCUCAUGUUAUGCAACAAAAAUGCACGUGCACGGUGUGUGGGGAGAAACUUGUAAACCUUUACGUUUUAUUUAGAAAAACUAAACCAAAACUAAAAUCGCAAAAAUUUAAAACUGAAAAACAACCUGAUAAAACAAGUUAGAAUAUAUACAACACGAUGCAAAUGCAUGAUUUUUUUGAAAACAAAAAAUUUAAGGAUCACGACUAAAUGUUAAUUUGAACAAGAAACUUUGAAAAUUUUGACAACGCGAGUUUAAUUCGACUCGACUCUCAAAAAGGGUCCCCAGUGGAGUCGCCAGCUGUAGCGACGUAAAAAUUUUGGUUUCGGUCGCUAAUUGUGGCGAUCUAGUGAAAAAGUUUGGAAACUGAAGUUCGAUUUUAAAAUAAAGAGGGAGUCGCCACCGAUCCUUUUUCCUAGGUGUGAUCGGACACCUACUAGAUUCAUUUUUUUUAAAAACAAAAGGAAGGCUGAAUUUAGGUCUACGUUAAAAGCCAGAGAAAAAUUAGGGUUCGGGAGUCGGUUACGCGCGAGGAAGGUAUUAGCACCCUCGCGACGCCCAAAAUUGGUAUCUCAUAAACACGCGUUGUCUUAAUUUUCAAAAAUAAGAGUUCAAUGUAAAAUUUAGUCAUAAUCCGGUUAAAAGAACGAGAAAUUUUGGUUUAUUUCAUUUUUUUAGAAGGGUAUAUCGCUUUAACAUGAGUCAAUUGACGUUCACCCAACAUAGCGACGAACUCGAUAACUUAAUGUUAAAUCGGUAUAUUGCCUUGAUUAUUGAAAUUAAUUAGAAAACCGGAACGUAAUUUUCAGGAGAAUGCAAGACAUAAUUGAUACGAAAUGAAAAUAAGUAAAUGAAAUGGCUUGAUACAUUUGAAACAAAUAACAAACAUGACAAUAAUAUUAGAAAAUAAUAACCGCGCAUGCAAGAUCAAAUGCAAUGUUAGCAUUGAAUACGAGAACAUAAAGAGAAUACGAUGAAUAUACACAUGAAAAUAAUUAAGAGUAUAUAUGUAAAAUACGUAUAUAUAAAUAUUAAUGGUAUUAGAAAGAUAUAUAAGAUAAUAAAAAAUAUAUAGCUAGUAAUGUUAAAUAUAUAUUCAUAAUAUUUACAUAUGUACAUAAAAUAAAUAUUGAGGAACACAUGCACCUAAAGAACAUAUAUAUACCAAUAUAUAAUAAUAUUAUGAAGGGGAACGAAACAAAUAAUGCAUAGGAUUAAAACGAAGUUUUGAAAAAUUAUUACCUAUAUACAUAUAUAAUAAUAAAAAUGGAUACAUGAAAUGACAUGAGAAAUAUACGUAUGAACUUAGUAUACAAAACUAACAAUUAAGUAGAAUCAUAUACAUGCACGGUAUUAAAAUGUAUAUACAUACAUAAUAAUAAUGUGGGGACGCCUAUUAAUAAUAUUACAUAAAUAUAUACAUAUAUGUAUAAUAAUGAUGAAAAUAAUAAUAAUAAUAAUGAAAAUAAAUAAUAUAAUAAUAAAUAUAAUAGUAAAAAAAAGAUAAUACUAUAUGAAAUGUGUAUAUCUAUAAUAACAUAAAUAUGCUAAUAUGAAUAAUGAUAAUAAUACUAAUAAUAAUAAAAUACGAAGAAGUAUAUAUAAUAUAAUAAUAAUAUUAAAAUACAAUAAAUAAAAGUAAUAUUAUAUAUAAAUAUAUACAAUAUUCACAUGUAAAAGAAAAAUGUAUACUAAUAUAUAGUAAUAAUAAUAAUAUAAUAUUGGAAAUAACAAUAAUCAUAUUAAAUAAGGAAACAAAAAAAAGGACCAAAAAUGAACUAAAAACAAAGCUUUGGGGCGAAUUUAAAAAAAAAUUAAAGGGGAAAGGACCUAUUUGAAUGCGGGUAAAACCAUGGGGCAUUAAAAGUGCAAAAUUUCAAACUUUCCAAAACGCUGCGCAUAUACGGGGGUUAAAUAAAAAACUGAGCAAAAUUCUGGGGUCAAUUCAGAAACAAACAUAAACCUAAUUUAAAACACCAAAAAUGCGGAAGGGCCGAUUGCGCAAAUAGCCCUUCCGCUCUUAAAAGCACGCGGAUCCUUGCUGGGGCGGGUCGGGUCGACCCGACCCACCCUUGAAACGGCGUCGUUUUAUUGGUUAAAGGGGGGAAAUUGGGGCGCAAAUUGAAGGUUGUGCGCAAGGGAAGGAUUCAGCGCGUAAUUUCCCCAUUCACACAACAUGGCGCAGACCCAUUUUUCUAUUCGGGCCCACACGCGGACCCUUAUGGUCAUGGGCAGCACUGUUUUGUAUUUCAGACCAUUUUAAACCAUUUUUCCCUUCCUUUCCUUUCAAAUACCCAUCCAUUUUAAGAAAAACCAGCAGCCUUGAAAAUAAAUUUGCUAGGGUUCCUUUUACAAGCAACUGAAUCUCCAUCGGAUUUGGUGUCCAGCGGCGCACAAAACAAUUCCUGGUUCUGUUGCCGUAAGUAUUCGACCAUGCCUUGAGGAAAUUAGUAGUAUUUUCUUUUUUACUUGAGAAAAAAUAAAACUUCAAAUCUCAUACAUUUUUAAAAAACGAAGAAAGUUCAUAAAAUAGAGAUUCAACACCACUUGACCCCUCUCCCCUACUUUUGUAUCUUAAAGUAUUCGGGAUCUCAUUGGAGUCGAUUUACCUACUAAAAGACGAUCUAAACCAAACAAAAAAAAGAAAAAAAAAGAAGAAAGAACGAAAGAAAACUUGAGAUUACCCUUGCAAAUUCUUAAUUUUUUUUUAUAUUUCUGUGCGUGUAUAUUCUGUGUGCGUCUGUGUUCGUGUUCCCCUUUUCUUUUAUUUACUCUCGAAAUAAAAAAAGAAAAUAAUCACAAAGAGAAAGCCCAGAGAUUUUGAUCGGAGAAAUCACCUUCCAAUAUUGCUUUUUUUGUAUUGCCUAUUGUGUAUUCGUUCGUAAAAAUAUGCCCCCCUUUACAUUGAUUCUCUUUCGGCUUUUAUAGCCGAUUACAUGUGAUUUUCACUGCUCUCUGCUUGUUUUGCUUUUGCUUUGCAUGUUUCUCCAUUCCUUUCCUGUCUUCUUUUGUUUAUUCUUUCCCCCAUCCCUCGCAUGCUGUUGUUUUUGUCUUUUUCGUUUGUCUGUUACUUUUGUUGUCUUCUUGCUUGCGUGUUGCAGGUGGUGUCAGAGGGCGUCAGACGCAUGGGUGGCCGGUGAUAGGCUGGAGGCGUGGCAGAUAAGGAGGCCAUGUGAGGCAUGCGACGGCCAGCUAGGGUUUGCUGCUGAAAUUUUGCUGAAAAAUGUUUUAGAUUUUGGGCCAUUUGGGCUUUAGGGUUUUGAUUUGUUUGGGUUUAAAUUUUGGGUCAGAUUUUGGGUUUGUAAAUGGGCUGUUACUUUUGGGUUUAUUAUUUGAGUUAUUUUGUUGGUAUGGGCCCGGGCAAAAUGGGCUCGUACAUAUACAAAAUAUGUAUUAAUAAAAUAAAUAAAUAAUAUUUAUCUAGUUUAAGGGAAAUAAUAUGUAUUAAUUCAUAUGUUAAUAAUAAUUUUAGGUAAAAUUUUACUAAAAAAUUAUUAAGAAUAUUAAGAAUGUUAUGAAAUUAUAUAUUUUUAUUUUUAUUUAAUUAUAUUUAGUAAUAAUUAUAUUAAAACAUGAUUAAAUUAUUUAUUAUUUUAAUAAUAAUCUUAGUAAAAUUUAAUAACGAUAAUUAUGUACUUAAAAAAAAUCUGUUAAGGGUACUCUGGUUAUUUUAGUCUUUUUCUUAUACUAUUACAACAUCAUUCCAUUCAACAAAACACAAGAAUGCCAUUACAGUUCUAUUCCAUUCCAUUCAACCAAACAAUUGAAUUACUAAUUACAGCUCUAUUCUAUUAUAACUCUAUUCAAUUACAACUCUAUACCAUUACAGUUCUAUUUCAUUACAGCGAACCAAACGUGCCCUAGAUUUUUACAUUAGAUUUAUUUUUAAUGACAUAUUUAAAAUGUGGGUUUAUCCCUUAACUUAUAUAUUUUUGGACACAAUGUAAUAGCUCAAAAUUGCCCGGGCCCGUAAAAUAAAUAAAUAAAAACAGAAAUAAAAUUAAGGAAAUAAUAAAAGUCCAUUUACAAUAAACAGGCCUAAAGGCCUGAUGGCUACACUUGUAACCCAACUGGUCUAAACCAGAAUACCCAUUAACCCAGUAGCCCAUUACACUUAAAAGCCCUUGAACCCGAACUAAACCCAAAUUAAUGAGACCCAGGAAGGCCCAAUGCCUAAACUGAAUCUGGAAACCCUAGGGUUUCCAGAAGCUUCGCGCCGCAAACUCCAAACAUCACGCCCCUUCGUCUCGCGACAUUUCAGUGACCCUUCAUCGAUGCCUCCAUUAGCGCCGUGACUAUCGUAAUCUGCACACAAAUCAACACCCCAUCAUCGCCGAAUUUCUCGCUAGUACCUGCAAAAAAAGGAAAGAAGAACAACAGAGGCAAUACAAAUAUGGCAGGGAAUAAAAUCAAGCAUGUAAAUAUUAUUUUCAGUGGCUAUAAAAAGCCCGAAUCAAAAUGAUGUAAAGUGGGAGUUUUUUUUAUAUACAAUAAAAUACAGUAGUUUAUCAAGGAUAUGAGGUCUUUUACAGGCAUAUAUACAAUAAAAAUCAAGAAACAUAGGUGAUUUACUUUUAUUUUGUUUUUUUUGUUUUCGUUGUGAAUACAUACAAAUAUUGCUAAGAAUAUAAAGAAGGGGAAUUUACCGAUGGAUUUGCGCUAAAAAUCGGAGCUUUCCAGCUUCCGGCCACCGUAAGAGGCGGUGUUGACAGAGUUACGUAGGCGCGUGUAAGCCCUUGGACGGAGGCUCGACAGAGCUCCGAGGACCAGCUCUCAACCCUCUUUCAGAGGAUGUUUUUGUUUUUGUUUUUUUUUAAAUCGGGUUUAAAAUGAUUUUAGGGUUAAAAUUUGACUUAUAUAGCCUUAUGAAAAUGAUGUCGUUUCGCUUAAAACAAUAAGCUUCAAAACGGCAUCGUUUUAAGACUGAAGAUCCGCGUGUUGACCCGUGACCCGGGGAGGAUCCGUUCGUUUUUGGUAAAUGGGCUAAUUUCUGUUUGAGCCCUUCCCCAUUUUUCAUUCUUUUAAUUUUGUUUAAUUUUAAAUUUUAUAUUUCAAUUUUGCCCUGACUUCUUUAUUUUUGUUUCAAUUUAGUCCCACCUGUCAGUAUAAGGCUUGUUUUGCGAACGACGCCGUUUCGGGAUUAGGGCAAAUUGCCCAGUGAGUCCCUUGGAGUUUUGUGCGCGUCCCAAUUAAGCCUAAACCUUCUUUUGUUAUUUUAAAAUUAGCCCUAGAACUUUAGUUUUAUUUAAUUUUAAUCCUUUUAAAUAUUUUUGCAUAAUUUAUUUAUUAAAUACUUUAUAUAUUAUUUAUUUUACUAUAUUUAUAUGUAAAUUAUUACAUAUUAUAUUAUUUUUAUUAUUUAUUAUAUUAUUUAUAUAUCAUUUUAUUAUAAACUAUUUAUUAUUAAAAUUUUGUAAAUUAUUAUUGAAAAUUACAUUUUUAUAUAUCAUUGUUUAGAGUUUAGAACGUAAUAUUUUAAAAUUUAAUGUGAAAUUUUGUUCCUAUUUAAUAUAUUAAUAUCUUUUAUAAAUAUAUUAAGUUAUUAAAUCAUACAAUAUAUUUACAUAUAUAUUAACCUUUGUUUAAAAUUUUCCUUUAUUAUUUAUAUAUAUCAUUUUAAAUAUUUUUACCUCAUUUAUUCUUUGUAAAUUGUAUGUAGAUUUUAUCCUUUUUAUGCACAUAAAUUGUUUGUUUAUUUUAGUACUCUUUUUCAUAUCUAUUUGAUGUUGUUUUGAUAUAAUAAUCUUAUCUCGUAAAUUAUUUGUUAUUUUUAUAUUAUUUUUUGUUUUUAUACAUUUGCAUGAAAUAUUAUUGCAUAUAUAUUAUGUAAUUAUAUUGUUCUAUUUAUUAUUCGCCACAUUGUAUUUUGCAUGGAAUGAUAAUGUUUGUAUAUUUACGUUUUUACGAUUAUAUAUGCAUGAGAUAUUAAUAUAUAUUAUGUGAGUUAUGUCAUUAUUUAUCAUUUUCUACACUAUAUUCACAUGAAAUGAUAAAGCAUAUAUCAUGUAGAUAGGUUUAUUUAGUAUUGAUCUUUCCUAAUAUGUAAAGUACAUCAUUAAUUUCAAAAAUUAUAUCUUAUUUAAUUCAAAAGAAUUUUAAAAAGUGUGGCAAUGUUUUUGGUAUUUAGGCAUUCGGGAAGUAGUGCCCUAACAUGCUGGGUUGCGAUUUUCUGUUUGUCUAAAUGUCUAAAGUAUCCUUCUAAAUAGAUUUCGUAAAUCACAAGAUGAUUUCGGUCACGAAAGUUUAAAGAUAUUGCGUCCAAUCAUGCUGGAUGUGAUGUUUGUACUCUUUUGGAGCGAAAGAAUCUCGACUUUCAGCAAAUUAUUAUAGUUUUAAAAAGGGGAUCUUAUUUCCAAAUUCCUUCAAACUUUUGACAUCAAGACAGAAAACUAAUUUGGUACCAAUCCUGGGCGUUGCCAGGGUGCUAAUCCUUCCUCGCACGUAAUCGACUCCCGAACCUAUUUUCUCACAUUUUCGUAGACUAAAAUGUUUUAUAAGGUGUUCCAAUCACACUUAAAAAGGUUGGUGGCGACUCCCGUUUUUUUUUAAAUACCCUCCCCUUUUAAAAUCAGGUUUCGACACACAAUGUAUAGAAUUACCUAUAAUUCCUCUCUAACCCAUAAAUAGGAAGAUAAUGCGUCUCAGCGCACUUAAACCCACAUACUCUUGCAUUGACAACAAUACAUAUACUACUCAAGCUAAGACUCAAUCGACUACGUUAACUUAUAUAUUGAUUGAGAUUGAUGCUUAAUCUAUUUAAAAAAAUUGUUUGAAUUUUAGUUUACAGAUGUAAUACCCUAAACUCGUAACCAUCGUCGGAAUAUGGUUACAAAGCAUUACUUGACUUGUACAUCAAACAAUUAUACAUUUCGUAUUCAUUUCUCAAUCCAAACAUAAACCAUUCAAAUUCAUUCAUUUGGUCACUAAUUUGAGCCAUUGAAGCCUAAAAUAGACAUUAAAGAUGGUUCAGGACAAAACUGAGUACUCACAAACAUUUUAGAAAAACAUUGAAAUUUUUGUAAAGUACAAGGGACACAUGCCCGUGUGGCCAAACCGUGUGUCUCACAAGGUCAAGAGACAAGCUCGUGUCUCAUACCGUGUGGGCAUUCACAAUGGGGGCACAUGACCGUGUCCCAGCCUGUGUCUGAGCCCGUGUAACUCACUGACUUAUGUCACACGACCAACCACACGCCCGUGUGCCUAGGCCGUGUACCAUUUGAAAUGGCCUCACACACCUGUGUGUCAAGCCGUGUUUUAGGCCGUGUGAAAACUGGAAGGUAUACUGACUUAUACCACACGGCCAAGUCACACGCCCGUGUGCUAGGCUAUGUGAAGCUACUGACUUGUUUUCUAAAGAUGUUGCAGGGGAAACAUGAACAUUUCACCAGCCGUGUGUCACACAUGGCUGAGACACAUGCCCGUGUCUCUACCUAUGUGGACAAAAUAAGUCAUUUUCCAAGCCAUAUUUCUCACCCAAUUUGAUUCUAGUCUAAAUUUAACAUUUUGCAUAUGACCAUCUUGUAAUAGGCAUUCAAACCAACCUAAAUUCAAACUCAACCGCAUGUAACAUCAUCACAUACAACCAUUGAAUUUACUAAAUGCACAUUUUACCUAUAUCAAUCCUACUCAAUUCAUAAACUAAGUGCUAAGAAUAUGUCUGUAAUACCCCUACCCGUAUUCAUUGCCGGAAUAGGGUACGAAGUAUUACCGGAGUUUACGGAUUAAAUUUUAAAAUUUUUUUAACUCAAUAUAACCCCUUUAUAGAUAUUUAACAUUCCCUGAAAUUUUAAACCAAAAACAAUCCACAUCAACCAAUCCAAUUCAACAUAUUUUCAAGAUAAAUUCAUACAUAUUUAUAAAAUAACGUCAUCACAUACCCAAAACCAGGUUUGUUAACCAUACCAAUGGCUAACUCUACAUUCAUUUCACAGAAUCAUUUACUUUAUUAGCUUAUACAUGCCAUUGAUUUCCAAAAUAAAGUUUCUUUAUAUACCAAAAUCCUGAGGUUGAUAGUGUGAUGUGUCUCCGACCAAAUCCGACCUCCAAGCUUUUAACACUACAAAACAGGGAAAAAGAAAACGGGGUAAGCUUUGUGCUUAGUAAGCUCAUGUAACAAGAAUUAUACUUACCUAAUAUUUUCAAUAAAGUACAAUAAACAUUCACAUAUCCAUUCAAUGCAUUAUUACCCUAAUAUGCACAAACUCAACAUUCAAGUUAGUACAAUAAUUUCCAUGUACCAAUAAUAUAUACCAUGAUUGAUGAGCUCAUCAAUAUCAUAAUUUCCAUUUCCUUGUUAUUUUUCUAUAUUUAUCCCGUUGAAUUUAUCGAAAAUUCGAUGGAUUUUUAGAGGUACACUUUUAGUGUACAAUUCUGGGUCCGUCAAUUCACAUUCAUGUGCGCACAUUUCCAUUUCAGAGAGCACACUCUCACGAACCUCAACCUUGCAGCGGGAUUACCAGUCCAGGCUAAAUCCCCUGUAAUAUAAAGUUAGAGUAUUGUCGGGAUUACCAGUCCAGGCUAAAUCCCCUGCAACGACAAUUACUCUAACGAGCUUGGAUCUGAAUUACCAGCCCAAGCUAAAUUUAGACCCUAAUUCGGAUUACCCGUCCGGGCUAAAUCCAUUUUCCACAUAUUCUUCGGGAGGGAUAUAUCAAGAUAGGAUCACCCGUCCGGGCUAGAUCCUUUUUACCUUCAAUUCCUUUUUAGAGAUCCAUCGAAUUUUCCUUUCAAUGUUUACUUUAUCUAUCAAUCAACCAAUCAAGGUAAAUCAGCGAGAUGACCAAUUCAUAAGCAAACUUUACUUCCAAAAUAGCAUAAGACUUCAACAUGUAUUUACAAGUAUUUACACUUACAAAAACAUAUAACCCAAGACUCCAUAAUCAAAAGAGAUGCUACAAUAGUUUGCAUCCUAGGUACAUGCCAAAAACACAAAAGGGAAACGUCACCAACUUUGAGUACGGGGUUCUUGCGGGAUGCUAUGUCCGAGUCUACUAUUUAUCUAACCUGUAACAAGUAAAUUAAUCUAAUUAUUUUUAGGUUCCAAUUGUUAGCUAAGUACAAUUCUAAUCACCAUUAAUAGGAAUUUCUAUCUUGACCAAUUAAGAAUUCAAUAAUUCAAGUAACCUUAUCGUAAGAUUUAUUAACAACAUGGCACCCGGUGCCUAGCGGUAAACCGCAGAAAGGUUGUGCUCAAUGCUAGUUGGAUUAACCGACAAUAAUGAAUGUGAGCCUAGAUCUAGUUGGAAAAGCCAAUGAUAUUGCACCUAGUGCUAGUCGGAUAAAUCGAAAAUAAUGAAUGUGAGCCCAGCUCUAGUUGGACAAGACAACGAUAUUGCACUCAGUGCUAGUCGGAUAAACCAACAAUAAUGAAUGUGAGUACAGCUCUAGUUGGAUAAGACAACGAUAUUGCACCUAGUGCUAGUCAGAUAAAUCGACGAUGAUAAAUGUGAGCCCACCUCAAGUUGAACGUAUCGACGAUUAUACAAUGGUUUAUAUCCAUAAUUUCCUUCAUUUACCUUCCUUACAUUAAUUCAAUGAUAAUCAUACAUUUUAUAUCAAUUUUAAGUUUGAAAAUACUUAAUUCAAAUAAUAAUUAGAAAUAACAUUAAGUUCGAGUCCAUGAACUUACCUCAGAUUUGUACGAAGAAUUGAUCGCUUAAUCCAACGCUUUAUUCUUCCCACGAUCUAAGUCUAUACGUUGUUUUUCUUGAUCUAUAUAAUCAAAUUCAACUAAUUUAAGUUUCAUUAUAUACAAUUCAAUCCAAAAAUCACAUUAUGGCAAAAUUACCAUUUACCCCUAUAUUUUUGACUUCUUUACAAUUUAGUCCUUAGGCUCGUAAAAUGAAAUUUUUGCAAUUUCUCCCCUAACCAAGCCUAGCCGGAUUUACUACAUGCUUAUAGCAGCCCAUACAUUUCACCAUUUCUCACAUUUAUCAUAUGAUUUAUCACAUUUCUCAAUUUAAUCCAUAAUGACAAUUUUCAUCAAAAUCCACUUAACAAAAUAUGCAUAUCAAUCAACAACCAUUAUUUUCAUACUAUAAAACUUCAAAAAUAAAUAUGUUCAUCAAUUGCAAAACUCAAACAAUUCAAUAGUUUUGCAAAUUAAUCCCCUAAUUAGUUAGGUUAAGCUAUAACGAUCUUGAAAAUAUAAAAAUCAUUAAAAACAACACCUAAAUACACUUACAUGCAAGCAAAGCAAGAAUGGGCAGCCUAGAAAACUCCCAUGGCUUUUCUUCUUCUUAUUUUAGGCACUAGCAUAGUAAAAGAUGAAGACUUUUCAUCUUGUUUUGUUUAAAUUUUAUCAUUUAUUACUUAAUUACCUUUUUACCCUUACCUAACUUUAAAAUUUACACAAUUACCAAGCCAUGCACAUCCACUAUCACUUUUAAUGGUCUAAUUACUUAGUAAGGACAUCCACUUUAAAGUUCUAUAGCUAUUUAAUACUUUUAGCUAAUGGAACACGACUUUCGUACUUUACGCGAUUUAGUCCUUUUUCACAAAUCGAACACAUAAACGAUAAAAUUUUUCAACGAAAUUUUUUAUACUAUAGUACUAUCAUGCUGUAGAUCUUAAAAUGAUAUUAAAAUAAAUUUUCACUGUUCUGAUUUUACUAAAAACGGGCCGUUACAUCAGAUUCAUGACGUUUAAAGUUGUUUCAUAAAAAAAACUGAAUUGUAGAAGAAAAGGGAAAAAAGAGGUUUCGGUUGAUGCAGGUGGUUUAAACAGAGAAAGCUAUAUACUAUCGAUUUUAAUAGUCCAGUGACUUUAACGAAAAUUUUUGAAUAAUUUAUUAACCAAAUUGUAACUUUUUUUUAGUUAAGUGACCAAAAUGAAAGUUUACCUAUAAUUUAGUAACUAAUGGUUUUAUUAAUUUAUGGUUUAGGUUUCAGACUUUAUUUGUUGUUAAAAAACAGCAAACAAUAAAAUAUUAUUUUUGUUAAUAUUUAUAUAUCUUAUAAUUUUUUUAAAGUCAUAUAUAAUCUUAUAAGUAAGUACUAUUCCUAUGGUGCAUGGAUAUUUAAUUACUGUGAUAAUAUAUUCAUUUUUUAUUUAAUUAAAUAUUAAAAAGUAUUUCCUAAUUUAAUCAAAGACAAAUAUAAGAAAAUAACCACUUUUAAAUAUAAUGAAGAAUUAUUAAUUCUUUAAAAAAAGGAAUUAUUAAUUGACAAAAUAUCAAUAUCAAUGCAAUUAAAAUGGUUAGUAAAUGUAAUUGAAUUAAUUACAACUAGAGGUGUUCAUGGGCCGGGCCGGGUCGAGUUCGGGCCAGGCUCAACUAAAAAAUCAUGCUCAUUUAUUGGGCUCGGGCCGGGCUGGGCCCAAAAAAUGGGCCUAAAAUUUUGUCCAAGCCCGACCCAGAUAAAAAUACUAAAACCCGUGCCCGGUCCGGCUAGCCUGUAUUAAUUUUUUUAUAUUAUUUUUAAAUAUAUAUAAUACAUCAAAAAUACAAAAAAUAUCAAAAUAAAUAUUUCCCAACAUAUUAAAAAUAAAUUUUAAAAAAUAUGUAGACUUAAAUAACACUAAGAUAAAUACAACUUAACAAGCAAAUGCUUCUAAAAUAAUAAAAAAAAUAACAAAUGCCUUUAAAAUAAUAAGAAAAUUAACAAUAAAAUAAAUUUUAUACAAUAUCCAAACAAUAACAACAAAAUAAUAGCAACAUAAAGUAAAAUGGUAGCAAAAUAGGGAGAAAACAACAAGAAAAUAGCAUUCAAAAAUAAAAAAAAUAUGCAGAUUUUUUUGUCCUUUAAUGAUUCGGGCCGGGCCGGGCUCGGGCUAAAAAUACCUUACUUUAACCUAGGGAUAGAUUGCAAAACCUCUGCACAUUCAAUCAUGUCCUUCUACAAUGGCGAUUUCUAGCGAAAAAAUAUUUUAGUAUUCCAAUCUUAUAGUGAAUGAUUUCUAGAGAAAAAUAUUGUAUUAUCUCAUUAACGAUUUCUAGAGAAAAAAAUAUUGUAGUAUUCCAAUCUUGAAAUUUAUUCGAGGAACAUUCCCAGGAACAUAUGAAUAUUAUGUUUAAAUGUGAAAUAUAAUUCUCAAGUUAUUUAUUACUUCUUAUAUUUUAUUUUUUAUUGUAGAAUAAUCAAAUUAUUUGUUUCACUAAUGAUAUCUUCGCAUAUUAUGUAGUGCAGUUUAAAAAUAAUAAAUUAGAUUAUAUAUUAUUUUUAUAGUAUUAUAUAUUAUGAUUUUUUAAUUCAUAUAAUAAUAAUUAUAUUAAGAGUUUUAUUAAAUUAUAUUUAGUAAUAAUUAUGGUAAAAUAUGAUUAAAUUAUUUAUUAUUUUUAUUAAAUUAUUUUUAAUAAUAAUCUUAUUAAAAUUUAAUAAUAAUAACAAUAAUCAUCUACUUAAAAAAAAUUCAACUAAGGGUAUUCUGGUCAUUUUAGUUUUUUUUCUUAUUCUAUUACAACAUCAUUCCAUUCAACCAAACACAAGAAUUCUAUUACAGUUCUAUUCUAUUCCAUCCAACCAAACAGUUGAAUUACUUAUUACAGUUCUAUUCCAUUACAACUCUAUUCAAUUACAGCUCUAUUCCAUUACAGUGAACCAAACGAACCCUUAGAGCAUGUUUGGUUGAAGGUAAUAGCUAAACCAUUACAUGCCUAUUACUAACCUAUUCUUCAGGCCAACUUAAACUGGCGUUUGGUUCAACGUAAUACCUUAUUACGAGUGGAUUCCAUUCCGGGCUUAAACAGAGAUUUUUGGGGAUUUCUAUUCCGUGCCUUCUUCACCGUUUACCUAUUCGUUGCUUGAAGAAACCUAUUCUACCCUUACCAAAAUUUCACAUCAAAAACACUCUCAAUCAGCAGCCAUUUCACAUACCCUUUGAUUCCGGCAUUCCUCCCCUUCAUCCAAGGUCAGGUAAACAUUUUUGCUUCUUCUUCCUUCACAUCAUCUUCUUUCAUUGUUUCAUCAUCUAUCUCCUUUCUGCAGUUUCAACUACAAGGCAGCAAAUUGACUUGGCACGAGCGCUUAUUGGUACUUUUCUUUUCCAAUUUCUCUUCCGCAGAGUUUUGUUUGCUUAUUAAUUUCUGGGCUCUAAAGAAAGGUAUCAAGAAGCGCAGAUUGGGUCAUUCAAUCAGUCACAGAGGACAAAGAAUUGGCUUCAAAAAAGAACAGUCAUUCCCAUGAACCUAAGAAGCUUUUGUUCCCAAAUGGCUCCAAAACUUUGAAGGCUUCUUCUUCAGAGGUUGGAGGUGGUCACGGUGAUGAUGGUGAUGGCCAUGAUGAUGUCGAGAAGUUGAGUAGUAGAGCAAUCAAUGCCUCUAUCGUUCUUGGAUUUGACACGUUUGUUGUAUCCAAGUUGCUUACAAUUGAUCAUGAUUAUUGGCAUGUAAGUUAUCUCCUAGGUUUUUCAAUUUUUUUUUUGCAUUUUAAUUCUAUUUCCUGUUUUACUUAGAGUUGAAUAAUGAUUCAUUUCAAAAGAGCUUUUUUUGGUAUGCUCUUGUUUUGAGAAGGGUAUUUUUGCUUGGUAGUAGUUUUCCUUGGUUUCACUUCUCUCUGUGCUAGAGUUGGUUAAUCUCUUUCGUUCGUCAUUUUAUGAUUUUAAUCUUGAAAAUUGUUGAGGUGUUUAUAACUUUCUAAACUAUCCAUGAAAUCUGAAACAUUGCUUGUAAAAGAAAAAGGAGGUCUUUAUUUAUGAUUUGUGCUUUCCUGGAAAUUUGAGGUUUAUGCAGAUUAGCUUUCAAAAACUAAGUGAAAGCUGGAGUCCUCAAAAUAAAAUGAAGUGAAAUCUAAAUGCUACAAUAUUGUUUUUUUUCCUAUCUCAGUAUUUAUUUGAUUCUUAUGAAUGAUUAACAGGGAUGGACACUUUAUGAGGUACUCCAAUAUGUUCCAGAACAUAAUUGGAUUGCAUACGAACAAGCUCUUAAAGCCAAACCAGUGAUAGCCAAAAUGGCAAUAAGUGGGAUAGUCUAUUCAAUAGGAAAUUAGAUUGCACAAGUAGUUUCUCUCUCUUCUCCACUCUCUCUAUUAGUCCUUUAAACGUAAACAUAUAUUGCAUUCAGCUCAUAUUGUAUAGCCUGUGUGUAGUGUUAUGAAGGAAAGCCUUCAGAUCGGGCCUUGUUGGAUUUACUCUUCAUUGAUCCCUUUCUCACUAUUAUUACCAGUUUUGAGAGGUAAUACUUGUGGUUCAUAGUUUAUAUGUUUUGCUGCUUUGAGUCAUUUUUUUUCCAUGGAGCACUGAAACACUUUGAGUUCCAGGCUUUAUUUCCUUUCGAUGACUGGUGGGUGGUUCCAGCAAAAGUUAUCUUUGAUCAAACAGUUUGGGCUGCAAUCUAGAACAGUAUAUAUUAUGUAGUUUUGAGGUUCUUGCGUUUUGAAUCCUCGGCUAAUAUCUAUAAAGAACUGAAGGCAACAUUUUGGCCUAUGCUGACUGUAAGAAGCAUUUCUUCUGUUUCUUUUGAUGCAUAUUUUGGGUGUCAAUGGUUGUGGUAUGAAUUGCAAACGAUGUAGUCUACUCUACCCAUGAUUUUUGAUAUACUGGAAUUCUAUUUCAUGCUUUAUUUGUUAGAGCAGGAUUUAUCAUAUAUGCUCAUUUUUCUUUUACUUAAUCACUAUCAAUGUAAAAUGUCUACCUCUUCUCCAUGAUGUAUUGGAGGAUUCAACCUUUCUUAAUAGGUGUACCUUAAAAUCGACUUAGAAAAAAUGUUGUGCGGAGAAAGUGAAAUCUGUAUAUUUUAAUUUAGUACUAUAGAUCAUUGGGAUAUUGAAAUGAUCAAAUGACUUUUAUGUACUGUUCUUCUUACUUGAUGGAUAACUUAACCACUUGAAUGUCAAAUAAUGCUCAAGAGCCUAUUAUUUGCCUAUGCAUUAGGGAAUAAGAGACAUUUAUUUUUAGUAUAUAAUUAGUAAAAAACCUGUCAUCCUUCUUUAGGUCUUGAAGGAGGCCUCUAAGCUUUAUACUGCAAGUUGGGUAAGGGAUAUUGGUCCUGAUCUUAGACCAAACGAUUCUAAGAAGGAUGAUGGGAUUAAAGGUAAAUCCAAUGGAGAUAAGAGUAAGAGUACAGAGAUAGAACCUUCGACCUUGGAGGAUAUUGGUGUGGAACUUUACUUUGUGGUUUCUUAUCUUGAAAUGUUCAAAUGUAUAAGUUGUCUGUAAUGAAUCAAGAAGUAUAUAGCAUGACUUGCAAAAUAUAUGGCAUAUUAUAUGUGCAAUAAACCGUUAGAUUCGUGCUUGAGACAUCUUAUGGAGGUCAAGGAACAAAGUCCCGUAAUGCUUGAGUUCAGUUAGGUUUUCAUUUAAAUUUCCCUUUUUAGUAGAACUUUUCUAGAGGUAGCUUGGAAUUUAUUCUUUGAUUUCUUUUUCCCCUGGCUGCUCAGAGUCAUCUGUGACUGCAUUUUGUUUUAAUUUGUUGUUGGCACCUGUGUUCAAGUCUUAUAUUUUACACUUCCAUUGGCAUAUUUUUGGUGAAUCCCUUCUUCACCAGGCCAAAGUUCAGUUGUUGAGGAAAUAUUAAAUUCUCAACUAAAAUUUUUGUAAUAGCCCAAAGUUGACCGGGUUUAAAUAAAGAAAAAAUUAGAUAAAUAAAUAAACAUUUAUUAAAAAAGUCCAUUGAAAGUCCAGGCCUACUGUUGCUACCCAAAGCCCAAAUACAAAAACCCAUAUCCGGGUAUAACCCAAUAGCCGGAACAAUACCUAAUACCCUUAAGCUAAACCCAAACCCAAAUAAGGCCCGUUACACCCAGCAGUCCGUCAGACUCAUUAUCCCUGCUAGCCUAAGUCAGACCUAACCCAUUACAUUACAGACCUUGACCCAAAACAAAACAGCCCAAAAGGCCCAAUAGACUUAAGAGAAACAGGGAAACCCUAGGGUUUCCGAAUACUGUGGCGCCGCAAACAUUUCUGGAAGCUUCGGGGAGUGUCUGGCAACCCCCAAAUCGAGGCCACCGUUUAAUGAGUUGUCCCAAGGGGCUUCAAUGCUCAUCAACGCCCCGAUCCUCGGUCGUCCCUUGGUCUGGCCCCAAAUUACGUUAUGAAUGUCAUGACCAUCACCAAGGCUCCAUCAGCGCCGUGAUCAGUGCACGCGUCUACACCAGCAUGGUCACUGCCAGAUCCCUCGCUCGAUUGCCUGCAAGAAAAGGAAACAAACAGCAGAUACGCGAAAAAGCAGAGUAGAAAAUGGCAAGGAAAUCACAGCACAUCAGUCAAAGAUACAAGAAAUCAGAGAUUUCUUUCCUUAUGUAACAAAUCAGUAGGCUAUAAAAAAAGCCUUUGUAACCCUUGUAACGAUUACACAGAUACAGAAAUAAAGAAACGAAUACAAAUAGUUUCAAAGGUGAUAACUGAGUGACUUGUUCUCUAUUUUUUUUAGCCCAUAUAUAUGAACUGUUUAGCAAAAUACUAAGGGUAUUUGAAAAGAAGAAGAACUACCUGUUUUGGAUCUAAAGGAAUGAGGAUUUUUAAACCCUCCGAUCUUCGUAUACAGUGGCCCUUAGGGCGGCGCGUGGGCGCGUGGACCGGCACGUGGCGUACGAAGGCCAGAACCGGAGCUCCCUUCCUCUCUCUCUUUCAGAGAGAAUUUUUUAGUUUUUUUUUUAAAAAAUCGGGGUUCAAAUGAAUCUUAAGCUGAGAAGGUAGCUUAUAUAGCUUGAACGAAACGGCGUCGUUUUGCGACCCCCAGGAUCCGCGUGUUGACCCGAUUACCUGGGGAGGAUCCGCGCAUUUUUUAAAAUUGGGUUAAUUUCCCAAUCGGUCCUUCUACCCCUUUUGUGUUUACAAUUAAACUAUUUUAUUUAUGAUUUGGCCCUAUUAUUUUAUUUUAGUUUUAAUUUGACCCUGACAGUUGUUAAAUUAUAUUCUGAGAAACGUGGCCGUUUUAAGAAUAGGGCAUUUUGCCCAGUGAGUCCCUCUAAUUUUACGCGCGUUUUAAAUAGGGCCUCAAUUCAGUUUUGUUUCUUUGAAAUUCGCCCUGUAAUUUUGCUGAAUUUUAAAUUUAGUCCUAUAUUUAUUCUAUAUAUAUAUCUAUUUUAUAUAUUGAUAUUUAUUUUUAUCCUUAUUAUUUAUAUUAUAUACUAUAAGAUUAUUUUAUUAUACAUAUAUUAUUAUUCUUCAUAUUACCUAUUAUUUUUCAAAUUAUUUUACAUCAUUAUUUUUUAUAUUAUUAUAUUUUUACUUGUAUUAUAUGUUAAUUAUUUAUACAUAUAAACUUUCAUUAUUUUAUAUUAUAUCUAUUAUAUAUCUUAUUUCCUAUAUAUUUAAAUUAUAUUUUAUAACAUUUAUUUUAUUUUAUUUUUAUUCUAUAUUUUUUAUAUAUAUGUUAUGUGUAUCAUAUAUUAUCUAUUAUAUUAUUCAUUAAGAUUUGUAAAUUAAAUUACAUUUUAAACUCAUAUUAUAUAUAUUAAAUUAUUAAUUAUGUAUUAUUUUAUUUUAAAAUGAUGUUUUGUGAUAUGUAUUAUUUUAUAAAUCCUUUUACCUACUUUUAUUUUAUAUAUAUUUUUAUAUAAUUAUUAUUCUCUUAUAAAUAUUUUGUUAUUAUAUUUUAUAUAUUAUGUAGCAAAUACUAUUUUAAAAUUAUUAUUAAAAUUUAGGUCUUUAUUUGUGUUAUGUGUAUACUUUGUUGACAAUAAUUUAUUCCAUUGUUUUUAUAUUGCAUAUAUCAUGCGUUAUUUUAUAUUUAUUAUUUGAUAUUACAUUUCAUGAGCAUAUACAAUGAUAUUAUAUUACUCUUUUGUAUGCCAUACAUUAUUUAAUUAUUGCUUUCUUAUAUAUAACGUGCAUUAUUUAAUUAUCACUUUGUAUGUUUGUAUAUCUUGUUUAUUCAUUCUCAAUACAUGCUAUAUAUAUAUCUAUGUAUGCAUAUUGUUACUAUUUGCUUUAUAUGUAUUAUUUUAUAUGUAUAUAUCUAAUGCACGAUCUUUAUAUCAUAGUAUUCAUUUUUAAAUGCACGUAUUAUUUACCUACUACAAUAAUAUGUUACUAUGUAUGAUUUAUAAUGCAAUAUAAUUCCUCACACAUCACCAUUUUUUUAAAAAAAGAGCUCCAAGGUUUUCAAAAAAAUAUAAAGGCAAUGCUUGAUGUUUGGAAAUUUCGGGAAAGUAGUGCCCUAACUUAUCGGUUUGCGACUCUUCUCGUUGAGUUCGAAUAAUCAAAUACCCUUUUAAGUUUUUAAAGGUUUUCAAAAUGUAAGUGACUGUCUUGGAAUUUCAAAGAAAUAUGACCAAACUUACUGGAUGUGGCGUUUUGUUGUUUCAAGAUAGGGAUUUUCGAAAGGCUAACUCAAUGUCAAUAUUUUACGAGUGAGUUCCAAUUUUCAAAAUCCAAAAUAUUUCAAAGAGGAUUGCGUCUUAAAAUUUCUAAUUUCCGACCUUAAAGACAUUUGAUAAUCAAUUUGGUACCAAUUUUUGGGCGUUACGAGGGUGCUAACCCUUCCUCGUACGUAACCGACUCCCGAACUCGUUCUUUUGAUUUCGUAGACCAAAACCGAUGAUUUUAAAAUAAAAUUGAUCUAAAGGUGAUCCAAUCACACCUAAAAAGCUUGGUGGCGACUCCCGUUUUCAUUUUUUUAAAGUCGAUUCCCAUUUUCUAAAACUCGAUUUGAAAAUGAUUUCGACAGCUUGGCGACUCCACUGCGGACUAAUAAGAGAGUCAAGCCGUGUAAUUGAUUAUCUCUUGUCUUAAUGUCGGAAAUUAAAAAUUUUAAAAUUUAAUUUUCUUUGCAUUACAUGUGUUUGUGUUAUUGCAUGUGUUGCUAUAUUCUAAUACGCAUUGCAUUUGCAUGACCGUUGUGGUCACACCCUUAAGUGGGAGUGAGAAGCUACGCCUUCGUGAGGUUUUCGCCUCCGUGCAGGAUAGUGGAUCACUUUUGGGAUACAUCCGUACCUAUGGUUUCGUGAGAUUUUCAUCUCCGUGUAGCCAUAGGGAAAUGUGUCCCCCUGAACUGAACUCGAUUCAAAUGAGCCUAUAAUGGGUGAGGAUCGAGGAAUCUGCUGGUUCAGGUACCUCAACUUUAGAACUAAACCACAUAUAGAAGGACCGUAAGAGCUCAACCUAGAUAGAAUUAUACCGUAAUUAUUACCCUUACAGGUUAUCUUUGAGUUUAUUGUUAUCAUGUGAUACUAACUAUCUCUUUUCUUUUGUUGCAUAUCAUUUCGCAUUUAAAAGGUAUCAAUUCGCGGUCAGUGUCUAAAUUAGAGAGUUUUAUUAUAGAGAACGGACUUCUUGAUAGAGUGGAGAGCAAUGCCAACGUCCAUAGAUGGUCUGAGCAAACUCAGUUAGAAAAGGGAGAUAGUAUAGCUGUGGGAUAUAUGUCGGAGCUGUCAGGAUAUACUCGCAUCAGUGUCACGCAGGAUAAUCUCCAAGAACUUAAGGAGAUUUGGGAUCAAUGGGGCAACGAGACUAAACAGUUAUUCUAUGGUAAUUACGUAGAUUUACCUUACUUGCUCGAUGUUCAAAUAGAUGAGCACUUGUUCCGAGCCCUCGCUCAGUUUUGGAAUCCAGCGUAUAGUUGCUUUACUUUUGGGGAGGUAGACUUGGUGCCUACCGUAGAGGAGUACACUGCCUUGUUACGUUGUCCCAGGUUCCAGGUUGAUAGAAUCUAUUCUCGAGCUGCUAAUGUCCCUACCUUUUGGAAGAAAUUGAUGACUAUUACAGGGAUGAGUGAGCAGUGGAUUACGACCAGAAUUAAAGAGAACGGUGAGUGCAAGUGCAUUUCAUGGGACGCUUUGAAGGGUCUGAUUUUGAUGCAUCCCGAUGAAACAAAGAGGGUAGAUGUUUUUGCCUUAAGUUUGUAUGGAUUGAUGGUGUUCCCUAGGGCUUUGGGAUAUGUGGAUGAGGCAACCACGGAUCUUUUCCAUAGACUCAGUAAGAGGGUCACUUCAGUCCCUGCAAUUUUGGCAGAGACAUUCAGGUCCUUAGGCACAUGUAGAAAAGCUGGUGCAGGCAGGUUUGUUGGUUGUGUACAAUUGCUUCUAGUUUGGUUCUAUAGUCAUUUUCAAUUGGUAGAUAAGGUCGUUUGUCGGGUUUUCUUCGAGGAUUACUCACCGCUGAAGGGCAUAGUCGCUUCAACUAGGAGAGUUGAUGUUCCAGAGGAGAAUUGGAUAGCACUACUUCAAAAUCUUCAGUCGAAAGAUGUUGAGUGGAGAGCUCCAUGGAUGAUUCCUGGUGAGAUUCUUUACCGUUGCGGCAGUUUCGAUUGGGUCCCUUUAUUGGGAAUUUGGGGUGCCAUUGGUUAUGCCCCCUUGCUCGUGUUAAGGCAAUUCGAUUUGAGGCAGUUCGUGCCAGCAACUCAUGGGCUAACUCAAAGUGAGUUCGCAUAUAGAGGAGCUGAUUACAAGAAAAGGGUCGGUGAGAUCUCUAGCGCUUGGAACAAGGCGUGCCGAUUGAAAGGAGUAGCUAUUGGCCCUGCUACGACUCCAGAAUAUGUUGAAUGGAGAGGUAGAAGGAUCAAUGAUAACAUUCCUGAGCCAAAUAUGGAAAGAGCUCGACCGAUGGAGGAAUAUCUGCAAGUGAUGCCCUCGGAGUUAGAAAUUAUGAAGCAAGAAUUUGAGAGGAAAAAUCUGGAGCUCGAGAAAAGGAUAGCAAAGCUUGAAGAAGAAAAAAUGUACUUGAGUUUAGAUAUUGAUGUCCAGAAGAUGGAGGUCGAAAAAAAAAGAAAGGAAGGAAAAGAGGAAGAUUGAAGAGGAUAGAGAUGACUUGAAGGAAUACUACAAAAAGGCACAGGUAUCCUUGAGAAGAGCGAAAAUAGGAGGGUCUUCAGAUCAAUUGCAGAAAGAGGUCCAAGAAGGAAAGGCAAGAGCUGAGUACUGGGAGAAGAAGUUUCAAGAGAUGCAAUCGCGAAAUUUGGCAUUAGAAGAAGAGAAUAAAGGGUUGAAGUCUAAAGUAACUGAGCUUGGAAGAUCCCUUCGAUGGCAUCGCAACCAUGAUUCUACGGUCGAGUUAAAAGAGCUAAAGAGUAAAGUUGAAGAUUUGGAAGCAGCAUUGCAGGAAAGUAAACUUCAGAUCGAGCAACUCGAGACACAAGGAGAUUAUCUAAAGGGAGAGCUUCAUCAGUCUAGAGGGCAGAUUAGAGAAAUGGAUCAUGUCAUGGAAGAAGCCAUAGCUCAGAUUCGAGAGGUUGCUGAAUAUGUGCGAGACUUGGUUGUACGAGCCGAGGUAUUGAGUAUGAUGUGUGGGUCGUCGUCAGACAUCGGAAAAGAGUUAGCCCUUUUAUUAGAUAAAGUUAAAACUUUGGGCAUUAGGGCGAAAGCAUACUUGUAAUCCAUUUAUAUGUAAAGAUAUUCUUUUUCUAAAUGAAGUUUUCUAAAUGAGAUUGAAUCGAGAUUGAUGCCUUUGUUGCAUUCAUACAUUUGCAUUACAUCAUAUCAUAUGCAUUCAAGGUUAUAGAAAGACCCUAAUUAGUUAAAGUUUCUUUAUAAAGGUAGAAAAGAAAAACUGGAAAUUACGCAUUCUUACGGCACUCGCACUAAAACUAAGAACAUGGAUCAAAGGUUUGAGCAGUUGCAAAAGGAUAUGCAAGACCAGUUGCAAGAGCAGUUGGCUAAAAUGCAGAAUGAGAUGAGGGAGCAAAUGAUGGAAGCUCAGAGGAAUAUAAUGGCCGAAAUGGCUCAGUUACUGAGGGCCACUGAUAAAGGAAAGGCUCCUAUGGCCAUCAUUGAAGAGGAAAAUGAGGGUCCUCUUCUAGGUUUUACACCGCCGCAUGUAUCAUUGCAAACCGAGGCACCUCCUAGAAGGCCAUCUACUACUGUGAGGCCUCAGCAUGGGCUAAUCGAUGCUGGUAUCCAUGUGAAUUUUUCGGUUGGUUCAGGGCUUAAUAUGGGUGACAAUCUUACUAAUCCUCUUGUUCCUGAUCUAGAUAUGGUGAAAAAGGAAUAUUUGAAGGCCGAAGCUGCAAGGUAAUUAGAUGAACGCUGUAGAUGGUUAGAAGAAAAGUUCAAGGCUUUGGAAGGCACUGGCAAUAAUCAUGGGGAUGAUGCCAAGGACUUAAGUCUAGUCCCAAACCUAGUGUUACCUCACAAAUUCAAAAUGCCAGAAUUUGAAAAAUACAAUGGUACUACUUGCCCAGAGGCCCACAUCACAAUGUUUUGUAGAAGGAUGACGGGGUAUGUAAACAAUGAUCAGCUGUUGAUCCAUUGUUUUCAAGAUAGUUUGAUAGGUGCGGCAGCCAGAUGGUACAAUCAGUUGACCGGGCUAGAAUAAGUUCAUGGAGGGAUCUUGCAUAAGCCUUCAUGCAACAGUAGAAUCAUGUAACAGACAUGACCCCUGACAGGAUUACCCUGUAAAACAUGGAGAAGAAGCCUAAUGAGAAUUUUAGGCAAUAUGCACAGAGGUGGAGAGAGGUAGCGAUAGAGGUUCAACCACCACUGUUGGAGAAGGAGACCACUAUGUUAUUCAUUAAUAUUUUGAAAGCCCUAUUUAUUACUCAUAUGAUUGGAAGCACUACUAAAAGUUUUGCGGACAUAGUUAUGGCAGGAGAGAUGAUAGAGAAUGCCAUAAGAGGGGGAAGAAUUGAAGGAGAGGGAGUCAAAAGAUCAGCCCUAAGAAGAAAAGACAAUGAGGUAAACAAUACAAGUGGUUUUAAUUCAAAAGCAGUCACAGUUAGCCAGCCCAAAGUAGCCACAGUUGGGCAACAAGUCUCUUAAAAGCAGGAAUCCAACACUAGGUAUGAGAGGAUGCAAUUUACACCUAUACCUGUGACGUAUAGGGAACUCUAUCAAAAUCUAUAUGAUGCGCAUGCUAUAGCCCCUUUCCAUUUAAAACCAUUACAGCCUCUGUAUCCUAAAUGGUAUGAUGCAAAUGCCAGAUGUGAGUAUCAUGCUGGAAUAUCGGGGCACUUAAUCGAGAAUUGUACUGGAUUCAAGAAAGCCGUAGAGAGGUUGAUCAAGAAUGGGGUUUUAAAAUUUGAGAGUACCUCAAAUACUGAGAAUCCUUUGCCAAACCAUGACAAUCAGGGAGUAAAUGCCAUUGGUGAAGCCGGUGAAAAAAGGGAAAAGGAAAAUGUUGAUGAGAUAAGGAUGCCUAUGAGGGUAAUCUGGAAGGAGAUGAUGAAGAAAGGUAUGUUGACCUUUAAAAAUACGAAAGAAAUAAUGUGGGAUUACGGUGAGUUUCGUGAAGAUUGCGAGGAAUUCAAGGCCUUGGUGCAAGGCUUCAUAGACAACAAAGAGCUACAGGUUUAUGAAGGUAGCUCUAGUGAAAAGCAAGUAUGUGUGUUGGAAAAUGAACAGCAAAGAACCAACAGACCAAGGAUCAUUAUCUCCUUGCCAGGGAAUAAUGAAAUAAGGACACCAUCAGCGCCCAAGGUUAUUAUCCAUACACCUACUCCUUUCCCUUACAAGGAUAGCAAGAAAGUACCAUGGAGUUAUGACUGUAGCGUGACGGUGCCGGGAGAAGGAAACAUAGCCAGCGCAUCUAAAGAUGUACAAGAGGAAGGUUCCCAUACGUGAAGUGGGAAGCGUUAUGAUAUGGGGGACGUCAGGGUGGAGCCCACAAAAUCUAAGAAUGCUGAAAUUGAGAAAAAGAGUGAAGUACCUGUUAACGAGCCGGUGAGAGAGGAGGAAGCUAAGGAAUUUCUAAAGUUUCUUAAGCAUAGUGAGUACAGUAUGGUCGAGUAGUUGCGUAAGCAACCAGCGCGUAUAUCGAUUUUAGCCUUACUGCUAAGCUCUGAAGUGCAUCGAGAAGCGUUGUUGAAGGUACUCAACGAGACAUAUGUCACUCAUGAUAUAUCUGUCAAUAAGUUGGACCGGUUGAUAAAUAACAUCAAUGCUGAUAAUUUCAUCUACUUCAAUGAUGAUCAAAUUCCACCUGGGGGCAUAGGGUUAACUAAGGCUUUGCACAUCACCACUCGUUGCAAAGGAUACACGUUUCCAAGUGUACUCGUUGAUAAUGGGUCCGCUUUGAACGUCCUUCCAUUAUCCACAUUCAACAGAUUACCUAUUGACAGUUCACACAUGAAGACAUGUCAUAAUGUGGUAAGAGCCUUUGACAGAACUGAAAGGAAAGUAAUGGGACGAAUUGAUAUCCCUCUGGAGAUUAGACCAAAUACGUAUGAAGUUGACUUCUUGGUAAUGGAUAUCAAGCCCUCCUAUAAUUGUUUGUUGGGGAGGCCAUGGAUACACUCGGCAGGAGCGGUGCCUUUUUUACUGCGCCAAAAAUUGAAGUUGGUGACAGAUGGACGCUUGAUAACCAUCAAUGCAGAGGAGGACAUCAUAGCAGUCGUCACUAGUAAACCUCCUUAUGUGGAGACAAAUGAGGAGGCUAUUGAGUGUUCUUUUCGUUCUUUAGAAAUUGUUAAUACUACCUUCAUUUCGGAGGGAAGCGAGGUGCUGGUUCCCAGGAUGUCUAGAGCAACAAGGAUGGCCCUACAAAUAAUGAUGGGGAAAGGAGCAUUGCCAGGAAAAGGACUAGGAAAAUAGUUGCAAUGAGGGAUUCAAGUCCCAAAAUUGAUGGAGAAGAAGGAUCGCUUUGGUUUGGGUUUUAAGCCAGACCAUAAACAAAAGAGACAAGAGAUGAAAAAGCGUCAAGUAAGAAGGAAGGCGCAUUUGAACGGAGGAGAAGUAGAGUGGGAACUGAUGACAUUCCCACCUAUAUCCAAAACCUUUAAGUCAGGAGGGUUGCUAGUAAAAGAGAGUCAUCAAAUCAAUAUUGUACAUAAUGAGUGGUUUGGACAGGAAAACCUUGAGGGUAUUCACCCUUACGAACCGGGGAGCUCUCUGAACAAUUGGACUGCGGAGGAUCUUCCUGUAGUCUUUAGAAAUUUUUCAGAGUAAUUCUCGAAACAUGUUUAUUACUCUAGGGCCUAGGAGUAGUAAGAUUACAUUUUGUGAAAAUAGGCCUAUGUUCAUAUAUUAUUAUUCAAAUAAAACAUAACUUUUACCAAUUUAAAAGAGUAUUGUCUCAUUUUUAUCAACCAAUAUUUCUUUAAAUUCUAACAAUUCUUAUUCUUUUAUUCAUAGCACAUAAACGAUCAUUCUCAAAUUCAUUCAUUCUUUAUAUAUUCUUUCAUACCCCUUACAGGUCUCUAGAUAUCAAUGAUAUGAGCGCUAAUACUGCCGUUCCUGAUUUCUCUUGUGAGCAAGACAUGUGUUUAGAGGAGCCUUAGGAUUUUGAAGAUGUUCAAGAUUGUGACGUAUCUCUCGAUCUAUUAAGAAUGGUAAAACAGGAGGAGAAACAAAUCAUGCCACAUGAAAAAGAGGCAAUAGAUAAUAUAGCCCUAGAGGAAGGGAAGGAGGUCAAAAUUGGAACACUGAUCGCUAAUGACACAAGGCGUAGCUUGAUUGAGUUGCUUCAGGAAUUCAAGGAUAUCUUUGCAUGGUCUUAUCAGGAUAUGCCCGGAUUGAGUACUGAUAUUGUAGUACAUCGUCUUCCGAUAAGACAAGAAUGUAGACCGGUCCAACAGAAGUUGCGAAGGAUGCGGCCAAACAUUGUCCUGAAAAUAAAAGAUGAGGUUAAGAAGCAGUUUGAUGCAGGAUUUCUGCAGGAAGUGAAGUACUCUGAAUGGGUAGCUAAUAUUGUACCUGUUCCUAAGAAAGACGGGAAGGUACGAAUGUGCGUUGAUUACAGAGAUCUAAACAAAGCAAGCCCAAAGGAUAAUUUUCCUCUACCACAUAUCGACACUUUAGUAGACAACACAGCGGGAUAUUCGUUGUUCUCCUUCAUGGACGGCUUCUCAGGAUACAAUCAGAUAAAGAUGCAUCCAGAUGAUAUGGAUAAAACUACUUUCAUAACAUUAUGGGGCACCUUUUGUUAUAAAGUAAUGCCGUUUGGGUUGAAGAACGCAGGGGCAACAUACCAACGAGCCAUGGUAAACUUGUUUCACGACAUGAUGCAUAAGGAUAUUGAGGUAUACGUUGAUGAUAUGAUCGCCAAGUCGCGAACAGAAAAAGAACACAUUGAGGUCUUGAGAGGAUUGUUCUUAAGAUUGAGAAAAUUUCAGUUGAAGCUCAAUCCAGCAAAGUGCACCUUUGAAGCCAGAUCGGGGAAGUUAUUAGGCUUCGUAGUCAGUAAAAAGGGAAUUGAAGUUGACUCAGACAAGGUCAGAGCCAUACGGGAGUUGCCUCCACCACGUACUCAAAAAGAAGUUCGAGGAUUCCUAGGAAGGUUGAAUUACAUUGCUCGGUUCAUUUUACAAUUGACCAAGAAAUGUGAUCCUAUCUUUCGUCUCCUCAGAAAGCACAAUCAAGGUGCUUGGGAUGAAGAAUGCCAGAAUGCUUUUGAGAAAAUCAAGCAGUAUUUGUUGAAUGCUCCAAUGUUAUCUCCGCCUAGUCUAGAUAAACCGUUAAUACUAUACUUGUCAGUGUUUAGCAAUUCUAUGGGAUGUGUGCUUGGUCAGCAUGACGAGUCAGGGAAAAAGGAAAAGGCAAUUUAUUAUCUCAGUAAGAAAUUUACUGAUUGUGAAAUGAGAUAUUCACUAAUCGAAAAGUUGUGCUGUGCGUUGAUUUGGACCACACGGAGAUUAAGACAAUACAUGCUAUACCAUACAACUUGGCUCAUCUCAAAAUUAGAUCCAUUAAAAUACAUGAUGGAAUCAACGGCUCUAAAUGGAAGAAUGGCGAGAUGGCAAAUUUUGCUUUCAGAGUUUGAUAUAGUUUAUGUAAGUCAGAAGGCUAUCAAAGGAAGUGCGGUGGCAGACUUCUUGGCCAGUAGAGCUUUAGAGGAUUACGAGCCAUUGAAUUUUGAUUUUCCAAAUGAGGAGCUAAUGUGUAUAGCAGCAACUGAAGAUUCUCCAUGGAAGCUAAAUUUUGAUGGGGCUUCUAAUGCAGUCAGAAAUGGAAUUGGGGCAGUCUUGGUAUCCCCGAAUGGCGACCAUUACCUGUUCAUGUGCAAGUUGGAUUUUGACUGUACAAAUAAUAUGGCUGAAUACGAAGCAUGCAUCAUGGGGCUCCAAGCGGCCAUAGAAAGAGGCAUAAAAACCCUAGAAGUAUAUGGAGAUUCUGCGUUAGUAAUCUAUCAGUUAAGAGGUGAAUGGGAGACAAGAGACCCUAAGUUGAUCAAUUAUCGAAUGGUAGUUUUAGGGUUACUAAGAGAGUUCGAUGACAUCACCUUCAACUAUCUCCCACGAGAUGAGAAUCAGAUGGCAGAUGCUUUAGCAACCUUGGCUUCACUGAUUAAGGCAAACAAAGAGGAAGAGAUGAGACCAAUUCAAAUGAGUGUCUAUGAAUUUUCAGCUAGCUGUUGUAACCUUGAAGAGGAAGAAAAGGAUGACAAUCCUUAGUAUCAGGAUAUAUUGCGAUAUGUAAGAGAUCGUAAAUAUCCAGCACAGGCAUCCGAAAAUGACAAACGAACCCUGAGAAGAUUAGCUUGUGACUAUGUUUUGGACGGGGAUGUUCUGUAUAAGAGAAGGAAAUACCAAGUACUUUUGAGAUGUGUCAAUGCUGUGGAAGCCAAGCUAAUUCUAGAAGAGGUCCAUGAAGGUGCAUGUGGUACGCAUGCAAAUGGGUUCACGAUGGCAAGACAAAUCAUGAGGUUUGGCUAUUACUGGGCCACUAUGGAAGGAGACUGUAUCAAUUAUGCCAAAAAAUGCCAUAAGUGUCAGAUUUAUGGGGACAAAAUUCAUGUACCACCCUCACCUUUACAUGUCAUGACGUCUCCAUGGCCAUUUUCCAUGUAGGGCAUGGAUAUCAUCAGACCAAUAUCGCCGAAAGCUUCGAAUGGACAUCGGUUUAUUUUCGUAGUUAUUGACUACUUUACAAAAUGGGUAGAGGUUGCUUCUUACGCAAAUGUUACUAAGUCAGCUAUAAGUCGAUUUUUGAAGAAGGAAAUCAUUUGUCGGUAUGGAGUGCCUGAGAGGAUCAUAUCCGACAAUGUAUUGAAUUUGAACAACAAAACGAUAGCAGAGGUUUCGACCAGUUCAAAAUCAAGCAUCACAACUCUUCACCCUAUCGUCCAAAGAUGAAUGGGGCAGUGGAGGCUGCCAAUAAAAACAUUAAGAAAAUAGUGGGAAAGAUGACUGAGACUUAUAGAGAUUGGCAUGAAAAGCUACCGUUUUCACUCUUGGCUUAUCGAACAUCUGUUAGAACUUCUACUGGGGCAACUCCGUUCUCGUUAGUUUACUGGAUGGAAGCAGUUUUACCUAUUGAAGUGGAAAUACCCUCUCUCCGAAUUUUAACAGAGAUAAGGUUAGAUGAAGCUGAAUGGGUUCAGUCUCGAUAUGACCAGCUAAACUUGAUUGAGGAAAAGAGGCUGAAGGCUAUCCAACAUAGUCAGAUGUACCAGAAGCGUAUGAUACGAGCUUAUGAUAAAAAAGUUCGUCCAAGGGAAUUCCAUGAGGGGGACCUUGUGCUAAAGAAAAUCAUUCCCAUUCAAAAGGACUUUAGAGGAAAGUGGAUGCCAAAUUGGGAGGGGCCAUACGUCGUGAAGAAGGCUUUUUCUGGUGGUGCAUUGAUUUUGACAGAAAUGGAUGGAAAAAGCCUACCCAAUCCGGUGAACUCAGACUCAGUUAAAAAUACUUUGUCUAAAAGCGAAAAGAAUCCAAGGUGAAAACCUGCAAAAGGGCGCCUUGAAUUUUGAAAAAAAAAUGGAUAGGCCAAUGUGAAAACCCACAAAGGGCACCUUGUGACUAAAGGGAUUUUGAGUUGAAAACCUGAAAGGGCAGCUCAAAUUUUGAAGGGCAUACAGCAAACUUGCUAUAUUUGACUUGACAGAGAGUGAGGCACAGUGUACAUUGGGGCAUCAACAAAGUACUUUGGAUCUUUUAAACACAUGUCGAACUCAAGAAAGGCUUCGGGGAACUAAUGUAUAGAUGCUCAAGCGGCGAUAUUUAUCCUGUUUGCUGUCUUUAGAUUCUAUUUCUUCUUAAAGAUAUGCUAUCAAACUUAUUUCCUUUGUACUGUUAACAAUUCGAAUCCAAUUAUUCUCAAAGAUUUACUCAUCUCCCGAUAUUUUUUAAGUAUGUUGCAUUGAAAUAAUGAUAGAUGAGCUAAAAUAUUUUCACAAAAGAAGUUUUACACAUCACUUUGGAAUUUCUAGAUAAUACAAGAAACUAAAACAGGACAAUUGUUCGAGAAAUUCACGUAAGUAAGGAAUGAAGGAACUCGAGAGAUUUCUUUCUUCCAGUUCAAAAAGAAAUGGAUGAUUCAAUUCUUACAGACAUCCUCAAUAGAUCAUAGCAUUGGAGGAAGGCCUACAAGCUGAGUAAGAAUAAAGUUUUGAGAAAGAGAAAUGAAGGAAUGAAUAAUGACACCUGAGAUAGGGGUUAUAUUCACAGCACUUUGCAUCAUAACAUGUUAAGGGCAUUUGACUCAUUUCAAUCAUAGCAUACUUAGGCAUAGGCACAUACUCAUCCUACAGGUCAUGAAGAUCAAAGAUUUCAACAUGGUAGCCUAUGCUUAUAGGAAAUAAAUUGAAGACAACAGAUCUAAACUUCAGACAUUUAUGUUGAAGCAGAUCCAAGAUGAUUUGGUAUUCUUGUGUUUACAAGAAACAAGUCGAGGACAUAGCAGAUUUGACUCUCAGACGUUCUCAAAGAUAGCAGAUCUAACCUUCAGAUGUUUAUACUGAAGCAGAUCCAAGAUGAUUUGGUAUUUUUGUGUUUACAAGAAACAAAUCGAGGACAUGGCAGAUUUGACUCUCAGAUGUUCUCAAAUAUAGCAGAUCUAACCUUCAGAUGUUUAUACUGAAGCAGAUCCAAGAUGAUUUGGUAUUCUUAUGUUUACAAGAAACAAAUCGAGGACAUAGCAGAUUUGACUCUCAGGCGUUCUCAAAUAUAGCAGAUCUAACUUUCAGAUGUUUAUACUGAAGCAGAUCCAAGAUGAUUUGGUAUUUUUGUGUUUACAAGAAACAAAUCGAGGACAUAGCAGAUUUGACUCUCAGACGUUCUCAAAUAUAGCAGAUCUAACCUUCAGAUGUUUAUACUGAAGCAGAUCCAAGAUGAUUUGGUAUUCUUGUGUUUACAAGGAACAAAUCGAGGACAUUGCAGAUAUGACUCUCAAAUGUUCUGAAACAGACUCAAGAUGAUUAGACAUCCUUGCAAAUUGAAGAAGUAGAAUCAGUGUCUCUAUGUUCGGCGGAAAGCAGAUUGAAGAUCAUAGAAUCGAUCAAAUUUGGGUCUUUCUAUGAAUCUUUGCUUGAUUCCUGUUACACAGCAAUAAACAAAGAGGGGCAGCUGUAAUAGCCCAAAUUUGACCGGGUUUAAAUAAAGAAAAAAUUAGAUAAAUAAAUAAACAUUUAUUAAAAAAGUCCAUUGAAAGUCCAGGCCUACUGUUGCUACCCAAAGCCCAAAUACAAAAACCCAUAUCCGGGUAUAACCCAAUAGCCAGAACAAUACCUAAUACCCCUAAGCUAAACCCAAACCCAAAUAAGACCCGUUACACCCAGCAGCCCGUCAGACUCAUUAUCCCUGCUAGCCUAAGUCAGACCUAACCCAUUACAUUAUAGACCUUGACCCAAAACAAAACAGCCCAAAAGGCCCAACAGACUUUAGAGAAACAGGGAAACCUUAGGGUUCUUGAAUACUGUGGUGCCGCAAACAUUUCUGGAAGCUUCGGGGAGUGUCUGGCAACCCCCAAAUUGAGGCCACCGUUUAAUGAGUUGUCCCAAGGGGCUUCAAUGCUCAUCAACGCCCCGAUCAUCGGUCGUCCCUUGGUCUGGCCCCAAAUUACGUCAUGAAUGUCAUGACCAUCACCAAGGCUCCAUCAGCGCCGUGAUCAGUGUACGCGUCUACACCAGCAUGGUCACUACUGGAUCCCUCGCUCGAUUGCCUGCAAGAAAAGGAAACAAACAGCAGAUACGCAAAAAAGCAGAGUAGAAAAUGGCAAGGAAAUCACAGCAGAUCAGUCAGAGAUACAAGAAAUCAGAGAUUUCUUUCCUUAUGUAACAAAUCAGUAGGCUAUAAAAAAAGCCUUUGUAACCCUUGUAACGAUUACACAGAUACAGAAAUAAAGAAACGAAUACAAACAGUUUCAAAGGUGAUAAUCGAGUGACUUGUUCUCUAUUUUUUUUAGCCCAUAUAUAUGAACUGUUUAGCAAAAUACUAAGGGUAUUUGAAAAGGAGAAGAACUACCUGUUUUGGAUCUGAAGAAACGAGGAUUUUUAAACCCUCCGAUCUUCGUAUACAGUGGCCCUUAGGGCGGCGCGUGGGCGCGUGGAUCGGCACGUGGCGUACGAAGGCCAGAACCGGAGCUCCCUUCCUCUCUCUCUUUCAGAGAGAAUUUUUUAGUUUUUUUUUAAAAAAUCGGGGUUCAAAUGAAUCUUAAGCUGAGAAGGUAGCUUAUAUAGCUUGAACGAAACGGCGUCGUUUUGUGACCCACAGGAUCCGCGUGUUGACCCGAUUACCCGGGGAAGAUCCGCGCAUUUUUUAAAAUUGGGUUAAUUUUCCAAUCGGUCCUUCUACCCUUUUUGUGUUUACAAUUAAACUUUAUUUUAUUUAUGAUUUGGCCCUAUUAUUUUAUUUUAGUUUUAAUUUGGCCCUGACAGUUGUUAAAUUAUAUUCUGAGAAAUGUGGCCGUUUUAAGAAUAGGGCAUUUUGCCCAGUGAGUCCCUCUAAUUUUACGCGCGUUUUAAAUAGGGCCUCAAUUCAGUUUUGUUUCUUUGAAAUUCGCCCUGUAAUUUUGCUGAAUUUUAAAUUUAGUCCUAUAUUUAUUCUAUAUAUAUAUAUUUUAUAUAUUGAUAUUUAUUUUUAUCCUUAUUAUUUAUAUUAUAUACUAUAAGAUUAUUUUAUUAUACAUAUAUUAUUAUUCUUCAUAUUACCUAUUAUUUUUCAAAUUAUUUUACAUCAUUAUUUUUUAUAUUAUUAUAUUUUUACUUGUAUUAUAUGUUAAUUAUUUAUACAUAUAAACUUUCAUUAUUUUAUAUUAUAUCUAUUAUAUAUCUUAUUUCCUAUAUAUUUAAAUUAUAUUUUAUAACAUUUAUUAUAUUUUAUUUUUAUUCUAUAUUUUAUAUAUAUAUAUGUUAUGUGUAUCAUAUAUUAUCUAUUAUAUUAUUCAUUAAGAUUUGUAAAUUAAAUUACAUUUUAAACUCAUAUUAUAUAUAUAUUAAAUUAUUAAUUAUGUAUUAUUUUAUUUUAAAAUGAUGUUUUAUGAUAUGUAUUAUUUUAUAAAUCCUUUUACCUACUUUUAUUUUAUAUAUAUUUUUUAUAUAAUUAUUAUUCUCUUAUAAAUAUUUUGUUAUUAUAUUUUAUAUAUUAUGUAGCAAAUACUAUUUUAAAAUUAUUAUUAAAAUUUAGGUCUUUAUUUGUGUUAUGUGUAUACUUUGUUGACAAUAAUUUAUUCCAUUAUUUUUAUAUUGCAUAUAUCAUGCGUUAUUUUAUAUUUAUUAUUUGAUAUUACAUUUCAUGAGCAUAUACAAUGAUAUUAUAUUACUCUUUUGUAUGCCAUACAUUAUUUAAUUAUUGCUUUCUUAUAUAUAUCGUGCAUUAUUUAAUUAUCACUUUGUAUAUUUGUAUAUCUUGUUUAUUCAUUCUCAAUAAUAUAUCUAUGUAUGCAUAUUGUUACUAUUUGCUUUAUAUGUAUUAUUUUAUAUGUAUAUAUCUAAUGCACGAUCUUUAUAUCAUAGUAUUCAUUUUUAAAUGCACGUAUUAUUUACCUACUACAAUAAUAUGUUACUAUGUAUGAUUUAUAAUGCAAUAUAAUUCCUCACACAUCAUCAUUUUUUAAAAAAAAGGGCUCCAAGGUUUUCAAAAAAAUAUAAAGGCAAUGCUUGAUGUUUGGAAAUUUCGGGAAAGUAGUGCCCUAACUUAUCGGGUUGCAACUCUUCUCGUUGAGUUCGAAUAAUCAAAUACCCUUUUAAGUUUUUAAAGGUUUUCAAAAUGUAAGUGACUGUCUUGGAAUUUCAAAGCAAUAUGUCCAAACUUACUGGAUAUGUCGUUUUGUUGUUUCAAGAUAGGGAUUUCCGAAAGGCUAACUCAAUGUCAAUAUUUUACGAGUGAGUUCCAAUUUUCAAAAUCCAAAAUAUUUCAAAGAGGAUUGCGUAUUAAAAUUUCUAAUUUCUGACCUUAAAGACAUUUGAUAAUCAAUUUGGUACCAAUUUUUGGGCGUUACGAGGGUGCUAACCCUUCCUCGUACGUAACCGACUCCCGAACUCGUUCUUUUGAUUUCGUAGACCAAAACCGAUGAUUUUAAAAUAAAAUUGUUCUAAAGGUGAUCCAAUCACACCUAAAAAGAUUGGUGGCGACUCCCGUUUUCAUUUUUUUAAAGUCGAUUCCCAUUUUCCAAAACUCGAUUUGAAAAUGAUUUCGACAUUUUUUAGGCCAAAUUUCUCUCUUCUCACCCUUUUCUCUCUCUUAUUUUCCUGGUAUUAUAGUUUAUCUUGUUGAAUUUUACAUUGUUUUGAUGUUGUCUAUGGAAAUGAUUUAAUAGUGAUUGCUGCAAGAGGAGGGAUGGAGACUUUGAGGCCUGCUUUACAGAGGUUAUACAUGACAAGGGCUUCUGCAUAUAGAGAUGCUCUUAAGAGUUUCAUAGAAGGAUAUCAAGAGGGUAUCCAGCAGAUCAUGGAGAAAGAGGAAGAUUUUUCUAAAGCACAGCAAGAAGGCAAUACUGAUACAACUUGACGGCUGAUAAGUGCAUAAUCGAAGAUGCAUGUGAGUACUUCUCCAGCAUACCUAUUGUAGAUACAAGUUUGGAGAUUUGGUGGAGCUAGGUUGGCAUGAAAUCACAAGAAUGAUACAUGUCCUGAGAAUUUUCUUGUAUUGAGAAAGUGACCUUUAGAAACUACAAGUAUAAUGGAAAUCUCCAUUGACAAUGGUGAUGCUCUUUCCUUCUGUCACAAUUUAAAUGAAAUGAGAAUGUGAAGUGUAACAUUAUAUUGUUUGUUAUAUGUAACAAAGUAUCGAUUAAAAUUAUUACUUAACUCAUAAAUUAACAUUUAAAUUAUAUCAUUAAUUCUAUUUUAGUGUCUAAAUUUUUUUAAUCACAAGCUAUUUAUUACUUUUAAUACUUUUUUUUUAUUGUAGAAUAAUUAAAUUAUUUGUUUCACUAAUGAUAUUUUAGCACAUUAAAUAUGUAUUGCAAUUUAAAAAUAAUAAGGUAAGUUUUAUAUUAUUUUUAUAAUAUUAUAUAUUAUGAUUUUUUAAUUCAUAUAAUAAUUAUUUUAUUAAGAAUGUUAUUAAAUUAUAUAAUAUUUUAUUAAAUUGUAUUUAAUAAUUAUUAUAUUAAAAAAUGAUUAAAUCAUUUAUUUUUAUUUUAUUAAAAUAUAGUUAACAAUAAUUUUAUUAAAAUUUAAUAAUAAUAACAAUAAUUAUCUAUCUAAAAAAAAUUAAAGCAUUUUCAAUGGUUGUUUUGGUUGCUUAUUACAAUGCUUUUUUUUUGUCUUGGCAGCCCUUUUUUUAUUCAUCUUGUGGAUGCUAUUAAAAUGUUUUAUUGAUCAGAGUGAUGAGGGGCGGAUCUGGGUAGAAUCACAUUUUAGGGAAAACUGAUGAUUUUAUUUCGUAAUCUUUUCAAUGUAAAUACCAGCUCCUACCAUACACUCAUUUGUUGUCUUAUUCAUGUACAGUUUCUCUUUUCUUCCCCUUUUUUUUUCGGUGGUUGAAUUAAAUAUGAGAACUAUGGGAAACUGAAUAGAAUAUUUAAGGAUAUCAAGUUAUUUCAUUAACGCAUUACUUUAACCUAGGGAUAGAUUGCAAAACCUCUGCACAUUCAAUCAUGUCCUUCUACAAUGGCGAUUUCUAGCGAAAAAAUAUUUUAGUAUUCCAAUCUUAUAGUGAAUGAUUUCUAGAGAAAAAUAUUGUAUUAUCUCAUUAACGAUUUCUAGAGAAAAAAAUAUUGUAGUAUUCCAAUCUUGAAAUUUAUUCGAGGAACAUUCCCAGAAACAUAUGAAUAUUAUGUUUAAAUGUGAAAUAUAAUUCUCAAGUUAUUUAUUACUUCUUAUAUUUUAUUUUUUAUUGUAGAAUUAUCAAAUUAUUUGUUUCACUAAUGAUAUCUUAGCAUAUUAUGUAGUGCAGUUUAAAAAUAAUAAAGUAGAUUAUAUAUUAUUUUUAUACUAUUAUAUAUUAUGAUUUUUUAAUUCAUAUAAUAAUAAUUAUAUUAAGAAUUUUAUUAAAUUAUAUUUAGUAAUAAUUAUGGUAAAAUAUGAUUAAAUUAUUUAUUAUUUUUAUUAAAUUAUUUUUAAUAAUAAUCUUAUUAAAAUUUAAUAAUAAUAACAAUAAUCAUCUACUUAAAAAAAAUUCAAUUAAGGGUAUUCUGGUCAUUUUAGUUUUUUCUUAUUCUAUUACAACAUCAUUCCAUUCAACCAAACACAAGAAUUCUAUUACAGUUCUAUUCUAUUCCAUCUAACCAAACAGUUGAAUUACUUAUUACAGUUCUAUUCCAUUACAGCUCUAUUUCAUUACAGCUCUAUUCAAUUACAGCUCUAUUCCAUUACAGUGAACCAAACGAACCCUUAGCUUUUUGAGUCAAGACUGCGACAAAGAAAAUGUUUUUCCAUUCGAAUACAAAAGGUAGGAUUAAAGAACUUUUGGUUUUUGGCUUUUAUAUUUGGAAGUGAAAAAAAUAUCAAAAUAUCCUUAUUUAUAUUAGCUAUUUAUAUUUUAAAAGGUAUAUAAAAAAUUAUUUGAAUAUCAUUUACAUUUUAUAUAUUAUUAUAUUAAAUAUUUUGAAUAUUAUUUAUUAUUAUUUUAAAUUGUUAAAAUAUUUUUAUAACUUGUACAAAUAAUUUGUAUUUCAUGUAUCAUAAUAUUAAUUAUUUAAAUAUAUAUCAUAUAAUUUAACUAAUUUUUCACUUUUGACUAUCAUAUUUAAAAAGAAUAUUUAAUCCAUCAAACCUAAUUUUUUUGUAGUAAUAGAGAACACUAAAAAUUAACAAAUUACACUUUUUCAUAGUACUUUUCUACCAAACUUUUCAAAACUAUUUUGGUUUUAUUUCCCAUUGCUUUUUAAAAGUAUCUUUUAUGACCAUAAAUAAUACUAAACAAAUAAAUUCUAAAAGUAUUUUUGAAAAACACUUUUUAACCACAAUAAUGAAUAGAAAACUAACCCUAAGUUGAUGAAAGGGUAACAUAACAACCUAUAACCAAGCCCAAAUGAGAACCUUCGGCUGAAGAACUCACCUUAAAGUAAUGGGACUGUGAUAAUUACCUUUAUUUUUUCGAUAAUUGAUAUGUAUCUUAAUGUACCCUUACUUAACACACUUUAACCAACUAAACGGUAAGUUGGGUUUGCAAGCAAAUGAUUAGCCCUUGGCAACGUGAGCCCAAACUUUUCAGUCAUAUCAAGUUCAUCAGGUAACAUCCCAUCAGGCAACUCCCAAUCAAAGCAAUGAACUAAUUGAGCUAUAAUUAGACUCAUGGUGGUCAACCCCAACUGCAUUCCAGGACAUCCUCUACGGCCACUCCCAAACGGGAUGAGUUGGAAAUCAUGUCCUCGAACGUCUAUGUUGCUAUCCUUGAACCUUUCUGGAAAGAACUCUUCAGCAUUGUUUGACCAUACUUUAUGGUCUCGCCCGAUGGACCAAACAUUCACUAAAAUCCGCGACUUCUUUGGAAUGAAAUAUCCAUCAAUGGUGAUAUCUUCUGUCGACUCACGUGGAACUAGUAAGGGCGCCACUGGAUGCAACCUUAAACUCUCUUUCAUGACCAUAUCUAAGUAAGCAAGCUUCGGUAGGUCCGACUCUUCUACCAUUCUAUGCCUUCCAACAGUUCUUUCCAGUUCUUGUUGGAGAGCAGCCAUGACUGAAGGGUGCCUUAGAAGCUCUGCAAGUGUCCACUCAAUGGCUGUAGUUGUGGUCUCAAAUGAAGCUGCCACCAUGUCCACCAUUAUGGCCUUGAUGUUUUCUCUACCAAUGAUGUACCGCUGCUCUUCAUCGUUAGGGUUAAUGGGCGUAUUCAACAAUGAAACCAUUACAUGAAAGAAAUCUGUGUAAGGUUUUUGUUCCUUGGCGUUAGUCCCUUGUAAAUGUUCAUCAAUCAUUUUGUCAAAAAUUGCGUGAAGCCCAUUGCUUGUCCUCUUAAGCCUUCUUC